AAAGCUCCAUAAUGUAGAUAUAAGCUCCUAAGGCAUACUUAGUUGCAAACUUUACAUUCAUCCAAGAUGAUAAUGACUUAAAUCAAGCUAAAGAAGAGAUUCUAGGCAAGGGAAAUACACUAGCAUGCUAAAGAAUGAGACUUUAAGAUAUUGUAAGGACCAAGAUGAGCCUAAAUCUGAAGUUGCAACUCCAAAUCUUGGUUCAUCACUCGAAAUGAAGUACCAACAUACCAAAAUGGCCCUAAAACACAAAUAUAGAAGGAUCUAGCUAGAAGAAGUUCAAGGUAACGACUUGAUACCUUCAAAUGAUGCUAAACUUGGGCAGACUUCAGAUCCACACACGUUCCUUGCCUCAAACUUCUUGAUCUUCAAGCUCCUUUCACCAAGAUCCACCUUUCAAUCUUAAAACACACAAGUAUGGAGAGAAAACCGCGAUUUAGGGUUUUUGGACUCACAAGUGGCUGUAAGGGAGGUUAAGAGAGGCUAAUGACCCUUUAAAUAGGGUGCAAAACCUUGGAAAUUAGGGUUUCAUCCUCCAGCUCCAGCUCCAACUCGUCGAGUCAGGGCCUCCAACCCGUCGAGUAGACUUUUCAAUAUGAAAGAAUAAAGAUGAAAAUUAAUACCUAAGAGUUUGGGUGUUACAAUUCUCCCCCACUUGAACUAGACUUCGUCCUCGAAGUCCGCUGCGGUGAACAUCUUUGGAUAUUGCUCCCGUAUCUAAGCCUCUGACACCCAUGUCCACUCAGACCUUUUACAGUGCUCCGAUUGUAAUUUUACCAAAGGUAUCUCCUUGUUCCGUAGAAUCUUCACUUUCCUCUCCAGAAUGGCCACGAGCCUCUCCACAUAAUUCAGGUGCUCAUCAACCUGAAUGUCAUCCAAUGAUACCACCGCCUGCUCAUCCAGAAUGCACUUUCGCAAUUGCGAAACGUGAAAUGUGAUGUGGAUCCGAUUGAGCUCCUCAGGAAGAUCUAGUCUAUAUGCCACCUUGCCAACCUGGAAAUGAUCCUGAAUCGUCGAAUGUAUCGGGGCCCAAUUUCCCCCUCUUCCUGAAGCGGAUCACACCCUUCCAGGGUGAGACCUUCAGGAAUACCAUAUCACUGACCCGGAAUUCUAACUCUAAUCGAUGUCGGACGACGUAGCUCUUCUGUCUACUCUGUGUGGUCUACAACCAUUGUCUAAUAUGCUAAAUCAUCUUCGUAGUUUGUAAGACCACCUCGGUCCGACCUAUCACCCUGUGGCCCACCUCACCCCAACAAACCGGGGUGCGACAUCUCCACCCGUACAACAGCUCAAAAGGUGGGACACCAAUACUGGAAUGAUAAGUUUUGUUGUAGGCGAACUCUACAAGGGGUAGGUGGGAAUCCCAACUCCCACCAAAAUCGAUGACACAAGCCCUUAACAAGUCCUCAAGGGUCUAUAUAGUCCGCUCACUCUGGCCAUCGGUCCGCGGACGAUAUAUUAUGCUAAAAUGAAACCGAGUGACCAGCUCCUCGUGGAACUUCUGCCAGAAACGAGAGGUGAAUCUAACAUAACGGUUGGACACAAUAGAGACCGGUCUGUGGCGAGCAACGAUCUCGCGGCCAUACAUGUUAGCCAACUUCUCGGCCAACGAGCUCUCCUGUAUGGCCAGGAAAUGGGCACUCUUGGUCAGUCAAUCCACUAUGACCCAUAUAGCAUCAAAUCCCUUCACUGUCCUCGGCAACUUGGUAAUGAAGUCCAUUGUGAUAUGUUCCCAUUUCCACAUGGGAAUCUCUAGAGGCUGCAUCUUUCCAUGCGGCCUCUGAUGCUCGACCUUGACUAUCCGGUAGGUCAGGCACCUCUCAAUGUACCAAGCGAUUUCUCGCUUCAUGCACAACCACCAAUAGCUUAAGCUCAGAUCCCGAUACAUAUUAGUGGCUACCGGGUGAAUAGAGAAGUGGGACUUAUGAGCCUCCUCAAUCACCGUCUGUCUGACCCCACCAGACAUUGGAACCCAAACCAGACCGCAUCGGGUCAACAAUCCCCGACUAUCCUGCACAAAUCGGGUGUUCUUGCCCCUGAUCCUCUCUAGUUCCCAGUUCUCGGGUCGCAUGCCCUUAGCCUGAGCAUCUCUAAUCAAACACACGAGCGGAGAGUCCACUGAUAUCCUCAUACAUGACACUGGUGUGGAAGACCCAGUUGACUUGUGGCUCAAUGCGUUCGACACCACGUUGUCUUUACCUGAGUGGUAAAGGAUCUCAAAGUCGUAGUCCUUGACUACAUCCAACCACCGGCACUGUCUCAUAUUCAGGUUUGGCUGAUCCAUGAUGUAUCUUAGGCUCUUGUGGUUCAUGUAGAUGGUACAACGGACCCCAUAGAUAAUGUCUCCAAAUCUUGAGGGCGAAUACCACUGCCACCAGCUUCAGAUCGUGAGUAGGGUACCUUGUCUCAUGCGGCUUCAGCUGUCACGAUGCGUGUCACACCCCAGCCAUCGGCGGAAACACUAGGUAGUGUAACAUCAUUCUUCGUAUCACAAUUAUAUAACAUACAUUGAACACUACUAAAGAAAAUACAUACCUUUAUUGAUGAUUGAAAGUUACAUUAUUGUUUUUCUAGUAUCUAUUACAUAAUAUCUGACUAUGGUAUACUUCUUAAUGAACAGAAAGAUAAUAGUAAAGCUUCUCAUGUUCGAAUACAUACCAACUUUUCAAGUUCCUAAAAACAAAUGCAUUUUAAAAUACGUCAACAUAAAGUUGGUGACUCCACAGGUUUUGACUCCAUAAAGUAAUACAUAUUCCACGUUCAAAAGUAUAGUUUUAAAAGUAUCAUUUUGACUCUCCAACAUUUAGUAUGUAUAUUAGGUAUAAUAGUUUACUUAUAAAUUAAGUGGUAUACCUAAAAAUUCCAUAAUUCGAAGGUAUAAGUAAGGGGAAACUUAUACUUAACAUUAAUACUUGUAUACGACAAAGUAUAAUGUUACUAACAAUUUGCUACCAUGAGCCUGUAACCGCUGCUAUGACAUAAUACCUCUGAUAGAACAUACUCAUGAUUUACCAUGAGAAAUAAACACACUCAUGAUUUACCAUGAGAAACAACGCCGUACGCUUUAUCGACGCCGGAACAAUAACAAAUAAAAGGAUAGUUCAUCACUUGCUUUUGGUUGAAUGUAGCUAACAGUCACAAGUGGGGUGGUCAACCCGUAUACUAUUUAUACACGACUUCCUCGCUCAUACGGUAUUAACGGUUAUAGUUCAGAGGACUUCUGCUAAGAUCCCCAAUUUUAGUUGAUGAAUACAAUUACUCAUGUAGAAUCUGACGACUUCCUAUAGCUGUAACAACAAAAGCAUUUGCAUGUCUAAAACCAUAAGUUACUAGACUAUGCUUUUAAACAUUACUCCUUACUUCAUGCUAUUUAGGCAGUAUAACAGCUAUAUCUUGAAGUAAAACCAGGUUUUAUUUUUGACCUAAAACCAAUAAUAACAACAUAUAAUGUUCCUAGUUUUAUCUUGACAUAAAACUAUCAAUAACAAUACUAAGUUUUAUAUUAACAUUAAAGUAACAAUAAAAACAUAUAACAUGUCCAGUUUUAUCGUGACAUAAAACCAAUAAUAGCAACAUACUUUAUAACUUAACAUAUAGAACUUCCGAAUAUAACUUUGGAACUAUAUCGCACACAACAUAUAUAUAGAAUCGUAAGCAUAACUUAAGAUCUACAUUAGUAAAAUAACAUGCCAACAGAUUGAUAAUAGUUGUAUAUAUUCAAAAUAUUAUAUUUAGAACAACUAAAUCCCGGUUAUUAUAAAUAUCUAUGUUGAUACUAAUAUAAUAUCAUAUAGACAUAAUAGUAACGUAUAUACUUUAUUUAGCAUGCGUUUUCCCCCGAAAAUAUUAGAAAGUGGGGCCGUGAAACUCACCCUUGUAGCGUGAUUUUAUGUAAUCUAAGCAGAAAUGGUCAGCGUACAAGGUCGUCGGGGCUUGGGAUGCAAGAGGGCCUCAGCAAAUGAGAGAAAGGGAAGAAGUUUAUGUGUAAGAAUGGCUGAAGUCGGACCUGCUAUUUAUAGUAAGAAUUUUAGAACAUCACGUCAUGAGUUUUAUAAGGCUCACAUCGUGAGUCUUGUAUACUCAUCCUGUAGACUUGCCAUUUGCGUCCCUAGCUUCGGAAGGUGGCUAUGUGACUCCUCACGUCGUGAGAUAUCUUUGCUCACGUCGUGAGUUUGGAUCUUAUCCCCUCGCAGCCUCGUCACAAACCUUCUAGAUUCUGAGAUAUGGAUAAAUGACUUCUUACGUCGUGAGUCCUGUGCUCACAUCGUGAGCUCAGUCAGAUUAGGGUUUCUGACAGCUGAAUCUUCGGAAGGUCGUAACUUUCACAUACGAACUCCGGUUUUGACGUUCUUUAUAUGCACGCUUACGUAUUUACAAGUACUACAACUCUCUUUUAGAUUUUAAAAGCUAAUUAUAAGUAUAUUUUAAAUUCCUCUUACUAUAGAGAUUUAUAGUGUUCGGUUUAUCAUAACUUCUUUUAUGCGAAGUCAGAUUCAGACAUACUUUAUGUUUUUGGAAUCGUAUGGACGUAUACUUGGAGUUGUAUCAUAAAGAAAGUUAAAAUUUGUUUUAGAAUUUAUCAUGAACUACAUAACACUCUUAUCACAUUACUAGUUUAACAAAAUCACAUUACACGUUUGGCAUAAUCACAUGUCAUUGUUUAUUGACCUAUUUUGACUAGUGUUAGAUUCUCCCCCCGUUAGAAUAAUUGUGUCCUGAAAUUUAUCUUAUGGAUGGGGUUUUGCCAAAUAAUUGAGGGUAUUUUUCUUUCAUCUGAUAUUCACGUUCCCAAGUAAUUUCAGGUCCUCGUAAAUAGUUCCAUCGAACUUUCACUAUGGGAAUACGACUUUGCUUUAGUCGUUUGACUUCUCGAUCCAUGAUCUCAACAGGUUCUUCCACAAAGUUGAGUUUUGUAUUGACUUGUAUCUCUUCGAGAGGUAUAACAAGAGUGUCAUCAGAUAGACAUCUUUUGAGGUUUGAUAUGUGAUAAACAUUGUGCACAAUACUUAGUUCCUGAGGCAAUUUGAGUUGGUAUGCAACAAAACCAAUUCUUGCCAGAAUUUCAAAAGGUCCUAUAUACCGAGGGUUUAGUUUGCCUCGUUUCCCGAAUCGAAUUACACCUUUCCUAGGAGAGACCUUCAACAUUACUUUAUCUCCAACUUGGAAAUCUAAAGGCUUACGUCUUAUGUCAGCAUAGCUCUUUUGACGAUCACACGCAACCUUUAAUCGAUCCUUAAUUUGCAUGAUCUUUUUAGUUGUCUCGUGGAUUAUUUCUGGUCCAGUACGUAAGGUAUCACCGAUACAUUCCCUGGCCAUCUGUGUAUCUCCAACUUCUACCCAACAUAUCGGGGAACGAUAUUUUCGUCCAUAAAGAGCCUCAAACGGUGCAACCUUGAUGCUUGUGUGAUGACUAUUAUUGUAGGAAAAAUCAAUUAACGGUAAAUGAGUAUCCCAUGCAUUUCCAAAUUCUAUUACACAGGCUCAGAGCAUAUCUUCUGAAGUUUGAAUGGUCCUCUCACUCUGACCAUCAGUCUGUGGAUGGUAAGCUGUACUCAUGUCUAGACGUGUUGUUAAGGAUUUUUGUAGAGAUUGCCAAAAUCGUGAAGUGAAUCUACUAUCUCGGUCAGAAAUAAUAGCGUUUGGAACUCCAUGCAAUCUAACAAUUUCCUUAAAAUAAACUCUAGUGUUCUUCUCCAUCUUGUCGUUCUCCUUAAUUGGUAAGAAAUGGGCGGACUUAGUCAAUCUAUCGAUUAUUACCCAAAUAGUGUCGGACACACUAGGAGUUUUAGGUAACUUAGUGAUAAAGUCUAUUGAUAUCUGCUCCUAUUUCCAUUCAGGUAUUUCCGGUUGUUGAAGUAAGCCUGAAGGCUUUCGAUGUUCUGCCUUUACUCUAGAACAAGUCAAACAUUUGCUCACAUAAGUAGCAAUUUCUGCCUUCAUGUUUGGCCACCAAUUGUGUACUUUUAAAUCCAAGUACAUUUUGUCAGAGCCUGGAUGCACAGAAUAUAUGGACUAAUGGGCUUCUUCUGAGACCAAGUCCCUGACUCCACCGAACUUAGGCGUCCAAAUUCAGUUCAUAAAGUGUCGCGUUCCGUCAUCUUUUUUUAUAAGUUGAUUUUCCAUUCCUCGCAAAGCUUCGUUCUUGAUGUUUUCUUCUUUUAGAGCCUCAAGUUGAGCUUCUCUAAUUUGUGUGGUAAAGUUAGAAUGGAUAGUUAUAGUUAAUGCUCGUACCCGUCGGGGUUUAAUAUAUUCUUUCCGGCUCAAGGCAUCUGCUACCACGUUUUCCUUUCCGGGAUGAUAACGAAUCUCACAUUCGUAAUCAUUCAACAAUUCAACCCAUCUUCUUUGUCUCAUAUUAAGAUCUUUUUGGUCGAAUAUGUGUUGGAGACUCUUGUGGUCGGUAAAAAUAGUACACUUAGUACUGUAUAAGUAAUGUCUCCAAAUUUUUAGUGCAAAAACUACAGCUCCCAAUUCAAGAUCAUGGGUAGUGUAAUUAUUCUCAUGCACCUUAAGUUGUCAUGAUGCAUAGGCGAUAACUUUUCCUCUUUGCAUCAACACACAUCCCAAUCCUUGAUUUGAUGCGUUGCAGUACACGACGAAAUCUUCUGUCCCAUCUGGAAGGGAUAGGAUUGGUGCACUACACAACAUUUUCUCCAGUUUCUGAAAAGCAAAUUCUUGUUUGUCUUCCUAGUUGAACUUCGUAUCCUUCUAGGUUAGUGUUGUAAGCGGCUUGGAUAUUUUAGAGAAAUUCACUAUGAAUUUGUGGUAAUAGCGAGCAAGUCCUAGGAAUUGACGCACUUCUGUUGGUGUCUUUAGUGCGUGCCAAUUCCUAAUUGCCUCGAAUUUGGAUGGGUCAAUAUGAAUUCCUUCAUUUCUAACUACAUGACCUAAAAAUUUUACUUUUCUAAUCCAAAACUCGCAUUUGGAGAAUUUAGCGUACAACUUUUAUUUUCUUAGUAGCUCCAAGAUUAUUUGCAGGUGUUGACCAUGUUCUUCCUUGGUUCGUGAAUAUAACAAUAUAUCAUCGAUAAAUACGAUCACAAAUUUAUCCAAGUAUGGUUUGCAAACGCGAUUCAUGAGAUCCAUAAACACUGCUGGGGCAUUGGUCAAUCCAAAAGACAUAACUAAGAACUCAUAAUGACCAUAACGAGUUCUAAAUGCUGUUUUUGGAAUGUUGUCUUCUUGUACCCUGAGUUGAUGGUAUCCUGAUCUAUGAUCUAUCUUUGAGUAGUAGCUAGAUCCUUGCAGUUGAUCGAAUAGAUCAUCAAUUCUUGGAAGCGGAUAACGAUUCUUGAUCGUUAACUUGUUUAGCUCCUGAUAAUCAAUAUACAUUCGAAAGGAUCCUUCCUUCUUCUUGACAAACAAUAUUGGUGCUCCCCAAGGUGAAAAACUUGGUCGGAUAAAGCCUUUGUCAAGAAGUUCUUGUAGUUGGCUAGAUAAUUCUUGCAUUUCAGAUGGAGCCAAUCGAUAAGGAGAUUUCGCUACCCGUACUGCUCCUGGAAUUAAGUCGAUUCGAAACUCAACUUGUCGGACGGGAGGUAUUCCAGGUAGAUCUUCAGGAAACACGUUUGGGAAAUCACAUACUGGAGUUAUGUCCUUGAUUUCUUUUGGCUUUCUCUUCCUAUCUACAAUGUGGGCUAAGAAUGCGCUAAAUUUCUAUGUAGAUAUUUCUGGGUCUUAGUACAAGAGAUGACUUCGAGGUUCUUCCCAGAUUUAUCACCAUAGAUAAUCAGGGCUUUGCCGUUUGGAAGGGUAGUCGUAUGGCUUUCUCAUGACAUAAAAUUUCGGCGCGGUGUGGAGAUAACCAAUCCAUGCCAAUUACGACAUCAAAAGUACCGAUAGGCAUUGGCAUGAGGUUGACGUGAAAAAAGGUAGUUAUUAAGAGUUACCAGACAGUUUUAUGGGAUUUCAUGUGUUUUCUCAGAUUGUCCGUUAGUGAUUUCUACUUCAUAGAUUUCUUUUAAUCUACUAGACUUAUGACUUCACAAUUUUCUAAACGUCGGAGUUAUAAAACUUCGAUCUGCCUUAGAGUCGAAGUGUAUAGUAGCAUAUAAAUUAUCUAUAAGAAACGUACCAGAUACGACCGACGGGUCCUGGAUAGCCUCUCUGCUUCCGAUCACAAACACCCUGCCACGUCCUAUGCCUCCUUGAAUCCUUAACUUUGGACAUUCUUUCUUGAUAUGUCCAACCUCCCCACACUCGUAGCAUUUUCUUCCUUCACCACGCCCUGUCCCAUUAUUGGUUUGUUGAUCGACUGUUGCAGGUGUUGUGCUCCUGCAGUAACUAGCAGUAUGCCCUUUUUUCUUGCACUUCAUGCAGACAAAACAGUCACCUGGAUGAUGACGUUUGCACUGAUUGCACCAUGAAGAUUUUGGUUGUGUAGGUACUGCAUAAUUGGUUGCCACUCCUUGUCUUUUCUUAGAUGAUUGUUUGGGAUUGUUCCUAUUAAACUUGCGCUUGUUUGUUCUAGAUUUGGGAGACUCAGCCUUUGAGACCACUUCUGUUCCUUGGAUCUUUGUGACGAUUAGCUGAUGAGCUAUCCUCUUGGUUCUGUCAUAAGUCGUAGGAUUUGAUGCGAUCACUAUGACUUUGAUUUGCGAUGCUAAACCCCAGAUAUAUCGCUCAAUCUCUUUAUGUUCAGGGGUUACAAGUGUUGGACACAUUACAGCAAGAUCAUUAAAUCUAGCGGUAUAAGAUUUUAUCUCUGAACCCUUCAUGGUUAGGGUCCACAGUUCUUGUUCUAGUUGAUGUAUCUCCUCCCUAGGAAAAUACUCCUCUACUAGCAUCAUUUUUAGCUCCUCCCAUUUCAUGGAAUUUGCAGUAUCAAUUCCCAUGGUAUUCACAUGGUUGUUCCACCAGGUGAGUGUUGUAUCAGCGAAAGUACAUGCUGCAAAUCAUACUUUCCAAUUAUCUAGACAGAAGCUUAUUUGAAAGACGGACUCUGUCUUUUCUAUCCACCUUGUCAAAUUAACUACCCCCUCAUUUCCAUGAAAGCUUUUUGGCCUGCAAUUCAUAAAAUCUUUGUAGGUACAUGUUCUAGCGGUUCCUACAUGGCCUUCAUUUCUAACUCCAUCUCUUGUGACAUUAGAUAGAGCCGCAACAAUUCUUUGAGCUAUGAUUUCUUCAAGUUGUAUUGUACUUAUCGAGGGGUUUAUUUCUGGUGGUGGUUGCGGUUGUUGUUGUUGUGGUGCUGAAGGUCGGUUAGGGUUUAGCCGAUUACUCCUUCUAGGCAUUUUGUUUUAGUUCCUAUUAUAAAUAAUAAGAUUUUUAUGAGUUUUGCUAAUCAUUUAAUACACGUGUACUAAAUACUCUAGUUAUUAUUCAAAGUGUAAAACAUAAUAGACAACACAAUGAUUACUGUAACGUACGCUUUAUAUUAUUACCAGCAGUUACAUCAGUUUAUUUUAGGUUUAUAAGAGAAAAGUUUCUAUAAUCAUUUCAAAUUUUGCAAGGUUUUCUACAUCCUUGUUAUAAACUUCCCUCUUUUUGCCUUAACUAGUUUGAUUUUCUCUAUUUACAUAACCACUAGUUGUAGCUUAUCUACCAGAAACCUAAGUGAUGACCUAGCAUGUCAGUGACAUUCACCACUUGCUCUUCAAGUGCUUGAGUUCUCUGCUCAAGACUUCCCGUGAGUUCUUCAUUUCUUGAGGUUUGAUUGUAGAGCUCUAACUCUACAAUCCUAGCAUCGUGAGUAAUCAAGUCAUUAUAAGCAAAAUUUAUACGAUGAUGGACAUCCAUCACCGAUUCCUGAUCUCGUGUCCUUUGUCCUUCUAGCCUUUGUACUCUUCCAGAGAGAUGAGUAGCCCUCCCUUCGACAAUUUCCAUCUUAUCUUCAAUUUUCACACUUUUCUCAAACAAUUGAGAUAAAGUUUUAUCUUCAGCAGAAUGUGGGAGAUGUGGUCGAGAUGAUUGACCAGUCUCAUAUAUCUUGGCAGCUUUUUCUUCCGCCACCCACUUAUCAACUGUUUGUGCAAUCCGUGCAGCUUCAUCUUGAACUCUAUGAAUUCCUGAAGAUGUUGCCUUCUGACUCUUCUUAAUCUUUUGCCAUAUUGGUUUAGAUUUACGUGUCGUGCGUUUCAUUUUUACUCCUCCUAGAACUUUAUGGUAAAGAGUGUUCAGUGGUGGGAAAGAUGAUGCCACCGACUAUGUCUCCUCCAUGGAUUUGCUUUCUUCCAUUGGUUCACUCUCUUCCCAUUCGUUGGAGGGUAAAGGUGCUCCAUCGUCAGAAGGUAUUGGAUGAAAAGUGGUUGGAUUUAUAGGGUAGUAAGGAUCACCUACCAUCAUGGGGAAUGAAACUUCCUCUUCUUCAUCCGUGUCCUCGAUGAUUAUCCAUUCUCUUGAAUGUGCCAUGCCAAAUUCCUAUACGUUUUGGAUCACCAAAAAGUUUUAGUCUAUCAAAUAUUACUCCCAAAUUAAAUAGUUCAUAUGAUCUGAUCAUAAUAAAAUGUAGUUGCGCACCUACACCUAGUUGUGAUAGGAUAUAUGCACAUAUAAACUUUAGUUGGAAUAUUUGAUCUAAAUCCCAGAGAUCAAAAACAUUCCAGGUAUUAAGGUUUUUUCACACCGCGGGUCUGAGUCUUUAUAUAUGACUCUAUAUUCUUAUUUAUUGUAUUCACGCUUUUACUAUUGUUUGUUACUUCAGGUCUAUCUGAUAAGGCUCCGACCAAUCAGGAUUGACGAAAGGGCAGGAUCAUUUUAGCAUAUAGUCGUUCUAAAAUCUAGCAACCCAAAUCGACAUGUCUAUCCUUGUCACCACUCCCGUAAGUAGUCCUUUAGUAGAAUAAUUAAUAAUACUUAUUAUUUAUAGGCUAAGGGACAUACCUAAAACUAAUAGAGUAAGUCCUAAACUAUAGACGUGCUUUCCUAAGAAAGUACUAGUUCACUAUACUUAAUAGCUCUGAUAUCAAUCUAUCACACCCCAGCCAUCGGCGGAAACACCAGGUAGUGUAACGUCAUUUUUCGUAUCACAGUUAUAUAACAUACAUUGAACAAUACUAAAGAAAAUACAUACCUUUAUUGAUGAUUGAAAGUUACAUUAUUUUUUCCUAGUAUCUAUUACAUAAUAUCUGACUAUGGUAUACUUCUUAAUGAACAUAAAGAUAAUAGUAAAGCUUCUCAUGUUCGAAUACAUACCAGCUUUUCAAGUUCCUGAAAACAAAUGCAUUUUAAAAUACGUCAACAUAAAGUUGGUGACUCCACAGGUUUUGACUCCAUAAAGUAAUACAUAUUCCAUGUUCAAAAGUAUAGUUUUAAAAGUAUCAUUUUGACUCUCCAACAUUUAGUAUGUAUAUUAGGUAUAAUAGUUUACUUAUAAAUUAAGUAUUAUACCUAAAAAUUCCUUAAUUCUAAGGUAUAAGUAAGGGGAAACUUAUACUUAACAUUAAUAGUUGUAUACAACAAAGUAUAAUGUUUCUAACAAUUUGCUACCAUGAGCCUGUAACCGCUGCUAUGACAUAAUACCUCUGAUAGAACAUACUCAUGAUUUACCAUGAGAAACAAACACACUCAUGAUUUACCAUGAGAAACAACACCGUACGCUUCAUCGACGCCGGAACAAUAACAAAUAAAAGGAUAGUUCAUCACUUGGUUUUGGUUGACUGUAGCAAAUAGUCACAAGUGGGUUGGUCAACCCGUAUACUAUUUAUACACGACUUCCUCGCUCAUACGGUAUUAACGGUUAUAGUUCAGAGGAUUUCCGCUAAGAUCCCCAAUCUUAGUUGAUGAAUACAAUUACUCAUGUAGACUUUGACGACUUCCUAUAGCUGUAACAACAAAAGCAUUUUCAUGUCUAAAACCAUAAGUUACUAGACUAUGCUUUUAAACAUUACUCCUAACUUCAUACUAUUUAGGCAGUAUAACAACUAUAUCUUGAAGUAAAACCAGGUUUUAUUUUUGACCUAAAACCAAUAAUAACAACAUAUAAUGUUCCUAGUUUUAUCUUGACAUAAAACUAUCAAUAAAAAUACUAAGUUUUAUCUUAACAUAAAACUAACAAUAAAAACAUAUAACAUGUCCAGUUUUAUCUUGACAUAAAACCAAUAAUAGCAACAUACUUUAUAACCUAACAUAUAGAACUUCCGAAUAUAACUUUGGAACUAUAUCGCACACAACAUAUAUAUAGAAUCCUAAUCAUAACUUAAGAUCUACAUUAGUAAAAUAACAUGCCGACAGGUUGAUAAUAGUUAUAUAUAUUCAAAAUAUUAUAUUUAGAACAACUAAAUCCCGGUUAUUAUAACUAUCUAUGUUGAUACUAAUAUACUAUCAGAUAGACAUAAUAGCAACGUAUAUACGAUAUUUAGCGUGCGUUUUCCCCCGAAAAUAUUAGAAAUUGGGGCCGUGAAACUCACCUUGGUAGCAUGAUUUUAUGUAAUCUAAGCAGAAACGGUUAGCGUACAAGGUCGUCGGGGCUCGGGAUGCAAGAAAGCCUCAGUAAAUGAGAGAAAAGGAAGAAGUUUAUGUGUAAGAAUGGCUGAAGUCGGAACUACUAUUUAUAGUAAGAAUUUUAGAACAUCACGUCGUGAGUUUUAUAAGGUUCACGUCGUGAGUCCUGCAUGCUCAUCCCGUAGACUUGCCAUUUGCGUCCUUAGCUUCGGAAGGUGGCCAUGUGACUCCUCACGUCGUGAGAUAUCCUUGCUCACGUCAUGAGUUUGGAUCUUAUCCCCUCGCAGCCUCGUCACACAUCUUCUAGAUUUCGAGAUAUGGAUAAAUGAAUUCUCACGUCGUGAGUCUUGUGCUCACGUCCUGAGUCUUGUGCUCACGUCGUGAGCUCAGUCAUAUUAGGGUUUCUGACAGCUGAAUCUUCGGAAGGUCAUAACUUUCACAUGCGAACUCCGUUUUUGACGUUCUUUAUAUGCAUGUGUAGGUAUUUACAAGUACUAAAACUCUCUUUUAGAUUUUAAUAGCUAAUUCUAAGUAUAUAUUAAAUUCCUCUUACUAUAGAGAUUUAUAGUGUUCGGUUUAUCAUAACUUCUUUUAUGCGAAGUCAGAUUCAGACAUUCUUUAUGUUUUUGGAAUCGUAUGGAUGUAUACUUGGAGUUGUAUCAUAAAGAAAGUUAAUAUUUGUAUUAGAAUUUAUCAUGAACUACAUAACACUCUUAUCACAAUACUACUUUAACAAAAUCAUAUUACACGAUUGGCAUAAUCACAUGCGAUUGUCUAUUGACCUAUUUCAACUAGUGUUACAAUGUGUAGGCUAUCACCUAUCCUCUCUGCAUUAGAAGCGCUCCCAGUCCUAUGAUGGAUGCAUCACAGAACACUACCAAAUCCUCGACUCCCUCCAAAAGAGUCAAUACUCGAGUAUACCAAGAUAUCAUCUAUGAAUACGAUAACUAAGCAAUCGAACAUCGGUUUGCAGACCCGAUUCAUCAGGUCCAUGAAUAAUGCUGGUGCAUUGGUCAGCCCAAAUGGCAUCACCACAAACUCGUAAUGUCCAUAACAAGUCUGGAACACGGUGUUCCCCACGUACUCCUCCCUAACCCUGACUUGAUGGUAACCGAACCACAUGUCUAUCUUGGAGAACCAAGAUGCGCCCUGCAAUUGAUCAAAUAAGUCAUCUAUCCUUGGGAGCGGAUAACAGUUCUUCAUCGUCAGCUUCCCCAACUCCCGGUAGUCGAUGCAUAUCCGGUGUGAACCCUCCUUCUUCUUGACGAAGAGUAUUGGUGCUCCCCAGGGGGAACUGCUCGGACGGAAGAACUGUUUGCCCAGCAGUUCCUGCAGCUGUGAUGACAGCUCCUGCAUAUCUGGUGGUGCCAGAUGGUACGACACCUUGGCGAUGGGAGCCGCACCUGGCACUAGGUCGAUCCUAAACUCGACCUGCUUCUCCGGAGGCACUCCGGGUAACUCCUUCGGGAAUACGUCAGCAAACUCCCUGACCGUUGGAACCUCUGAUACUGAAAUCUGAUGUCUGAUCCGUGUAUCCAACACAUAUGCUAGAUAACCCACACACCCGUGCUGAAUAUACUGUCGAGCCCUGGCAGAUGAACAAAACCCUGAUUCCAGCCUGGUACCCUCACCAUAGACAAUCAGUUCUCCCCCACUUGGGGUUCAAACCACCACUCGCUAACCCUGGCAGUCGAUCAUGGCAUCGAAACGAAUAAGCCAGUCCAUACCCACAAUCUCACACACAUCCCCCAUGGGAAUCAGAAUCAAGUCGAUCGGGAAGGACACCCUGAAGAUCUCUAACUCACAUCCCUGAUAGACUAAAGAAGCAGAAACUCUGUGUUCUUUGGAGAUAGAGACUCGCAACGGACACUCUAGCUCUCCUACUGGAACUCUAAACUCCCCACUAAACACCUGAGAUACAAACGACCGACUCACCCCAUGGUAAAAUAAAACCAAUGCAGGCAAGGAGUUCACUAAAAACGUACCUAAUCACAGGUACAACAAAUAAGCAUAAAAUAGAUAUAUUUAAUAAGAUAAGGGAUAGAAACAUACCAGCAACCAUAUCCAGUGCUAAUCUGGCCUCCUUGGUUGUUAGCUGGAAGGCACGUCCCUAAGCCCUCGGGCGCUCUACUCUACCCUGCCUCUCAUCGGUAAUCCUCAGUGUAGCCAGAGCUGGAGCCUACAUCGGUCUGGAAAGGAGCUGCGGACAAUUGGUCUUCACAUGACCAACCUGAUGACAGUGGUAGCAGAUCCUCAUAUUCUGAACCGAGGUCGUCUAGCGACAAUCUCACGCGAAAUGCCCCUCUUGGCCACAUUUUCGGCAUCCACUACCCGAUCUACAAACCCUUGAAUAACCUUUCCCGCACUUGCCACAAGUACGGCCAUGCUUCCCCUGCUCUAGAAUCAGCGGUCUUAGACCGCUUCGGCGCCGACNGACUGUGUCGGGGCCCGCCGCUGCUCCCUCAACUGCAUCUCAAUCUUCAAUUCAUGCCGCCUAGCGGCCUCCUAUAACUCUAGCAAGGUAUCACAUCGUUGAGUAGCAACAAUCUAACAGAUGUCAGUCUUGAGCAUGCUUAAAUAAUGUGUCAUCUAAGCCUACUCAGAGGCAAACUCCGGGAAAAACAUCACCCUCUUCGUGAACAUGCGGGGGAUCUCCGUCACCGUCUCACUGUCUUGUCUCAACUUAAGAAACUCCUGAGCUAGCCGUUCCCGCUCGACCCGUGGAAUGUAGUGAGAGAGGAACAUAUCCUGGAACUGCUCUCAAGUAACUGCAUCACUCUGAUCAUCCGAACAAACCCCAGUCAUCAACCUCCACCAGUCCUUUUCCCCUGAGCUUAAUAGGUUUAGGACACAUCUAACCUUCUGGUCAGUAGGACAUGAACACGUGAAGAAACACCCCUCCAUGUCAGAUAGCCACCUCAUAGAUUUUAUGGGGUCCUGAGUCCCAUCAAAAGUAUAGGGCUUCGUGUUAUCGAAGUCCCGAUACUAGAAAGCCCNUUACAGCCGUUGUGGCUGUUGCGGCAGCCACCUCAGUGAGGGCUGCAUAGCACUCAUCGAAACACUCCACCAUGGCGGUCUUGAUAGACCCGAACAUCUUCGAUAAAUGAGCCCAGAACUGUGCAGCCACCUCAUCCUGUAGGAUCUCCCAGAUCCUGGCGUCUAUCUCGUCUGGCCUCAUCUAACCGAUAGUCUUAGGCACUGGGGGUGCCUCCUGUCUGCCCUCUCCUGAUCCUGACCUGGAUCCAGUCACAAAUCUUCGAGUAACCACCAUGCUGAAAAACACACCAAGAAAAUGUCAGAUAUUCCAUAUAAUAUUUCGGGAACCAACUCCCAACCAAAACCUUAGGGGCUGUGACUUCCUUGCAACGUGUAUGGGUCCUGUGCUUUCUGUAGUAUGGGCUCAUACUACCUUCCACACCUACCCAUAUUUGUCUCAAGUAUCAUCACAACGCCCUAGGACUAUACAUAAGCAUGGCAUGUGCUCAGUCCACACUCCUAGAGGAAGGCUAAAUAUCUCAUGUUAGGCGGACUCAUCCCAAACAACCCAUACAUCCAUGAAACAUCCACCAACCCUGCAUCACUUGUGUAUGCUAGCCAUACAUAACGCUGGACCCUACAGACUUUCGAAUACCUAAUCCUACCCUAAGCCCUUCAUGAAACAAGAACAGGAAAUAAGGCCAAACCAAACAUUCUCAGGCUAUAAGAUCUUAAUUAUGUACAGCCGUAAUGCAUACACUAAGUAACUACAGUACUGAUGUCAAUUUCAUAAAGGAAAACCCUAGGCUACCAGGCAUCAUAUAAUCAGCCAAUUCUAUCGUGCAAUUCCUGAAGAUCCCUAGCCUAGUACUAGCAGGUUGUACAAACAUAUCACAUAAAUCAAAUAAUCCAUAAGGUAUUUUGGGGUCUAUCUACGAGCUCUGGCUGAUCGGACACUUACAUCCUCCUUUAUUAUUUUGAAAACAUUAUAAGAAAAUCAUUUUAUAAUAAUGUCCUCAGUUUGAGACUGGAGACAUGCGAGUGUUUCCUCCAAUUCACUCAAACUAAGGCUCUAAUACCAUCUUGUAACAUCCAUAAAAAUCAUGCUAAAUUUAAACUUUUUAAAACAUUUUCAAAACCAAGAUUAUUACAAAACAUGUUUCCAAAAUAAUAUAAUGCCAGAGUAUCCCAUAAUCAAAUCAUAAAAACAUGAAAUAUGAGGAGCUGUACGAUCACACCUUCGCCUUCCCGCGAUCAUCAAAAUUACCUGAAACAAUAAUCGAUAAAUGUAAGCUCGAAUUCUUAGUGAGUUACCCUCAAAAUACCAAUUCCAUACAGAUAUAGCCAUUUCAUGUAAACAUAUAAGCAAACAACAUGCAUAAAGAGCCAUCAGACUAUUCUAGACAUUCCACUAGAACACUGGCAGGCUCGUAACGUGUAGGUACCGAACUACAUGUUCAUGUGAUGUACUCUAUUCAUCCCAAUGGUUGCCUUAUUGACAUAUAUUGUUGAGAAAUCUCUGAAGCAGUACUAUAUAUCCAUUGCUUGCGAUGAUCCUUAGGACCGGUCCCUAGAGAUGAAUAUAUGAGAAAACAGGAAUGUGUAAUCGGGUUAUUUAUUUGAUGCGAAAUAUACAAUUAAAACAAAUUAAUUAUAAUAUUGUGGGUUGAAAACCCUAUAUACUCACUAGGAUUCUCAAUCCUGACCCACUCAGUGUCUUUUUUUCACAGGUAAUGGUACGAAGGUUCAAGAAUAUGGAUGUUAAAAUCUGCCGAGAACUUUAAGGAGUUCUUAGGCCAUUAAAUAUAUUGAUGUAAGGCCUGUAAGACUUGUUUUGUUUAUGUUUUUGUAUAAGUUAUGGCAUCCCAAACUUUCAAAUAUUAAUGAUAACCAUUCCUUCGGAGAAGAGUUGAUAUUGAUUUCAUUUCACAUUAAUAAUGUUUUGGGACAAAUUCCGUACUAAUAAAAGAAUGCUCUAUUUUUAAAUAAACAUAAAGAAAGAGUUAUUUCCGGGCCAUGAAAAUGGGGAUGUCACAUAUACCAAGGGAUUGCUUUUAUCAACAUAUUUUUUGCACACAUAAAAGUUAGAAUUAUCAUCAGAAACCAUUUAGGUAAAAAGAAAGAAAGAGUUGGAAUGAAAUUUGAGAGAGCGUAGAAGAUUGUUGUGGUUUUUGAAAUUGUUGAGAGUGGUUUAUAUAGGUAACAAAAUAGAAAAAAAUAACUAGUCGUUCAAUAUCUAGUAGAGAGUUGAGAUAGACGAUGAACUUGGCCAUCUUUCGUCUUUUUGAACAUGCAACUCGAUGGAAUGGCAGUACUCUUUGUGUCGUCCCCAUAAGUCAAAAUCGUAUGCACGAUGUUUUGAACCCUAAUACCAUCAAAUAUGGUACAAUAUUUCCACUCCAAAAAUUGUUGUCACCUCAACACUACAUCUCCGCUCCCACACCAAACCUAAGAAAUACUCACCACUCAUUAUCACCUACAUCAUUUAAUUAUUUAUUAUUUAAAUAUAAAAUUUAUAUAAAAAAUAUUACAUCCCCAAAAUUAGAUAAAAAUUUCAUUAAAAAAAUAAAAUUUAAAUUUGCAGAAGAAAUUAAAAACUAUAUAAAACUUAAAUAAAAACGAUCUUAAUAAAACAAAUUACAUAUUGUUAUAUUGUCGGGGAUUUUCCGUUUGAAUGUUAAAAAAGUUUGGAAGCCUUCGGACGAAAGAUUCUGCGAGGUUUCAUUUUCAAAAUUUUCAUAUCAGAAAGCAUUUUUUGUUCUCAUCUCGAUUCACUUUUAAUAUGGAUUUUUUUUUAAACAAUUGAACAUGUUUAUCGAUAUUUUCCAAAAGUGUUUGCACAAUGUUCCCUUCGGAAACGUCUUUCCCCGACCCUAGUGCUGCCCGUUUUCCUUUAUCCUUUCGAAUAGGUCACCGAAGGGAUACUUCUAGUGGAUGAUUGUCGAGGUCAUCGUUUGGGCCCGAUUCUUGAACCGGUUUUUGACAUAUAUGUGUAGUUAUUUAACUUUGAUGUUUUCAACAUUCUGUUGUUGCCGGUGAAUUGCAAAAGCACUUUCAUAUUAUUGAGGCAAGUGAAUUAAAAUUCGAUGUGUUUUGGAUGAUUAAAGUGUUUGAGUUUUGCUUCAUGGUCUGGUGUAAAUUUAUAAAUGUACUACACCUAAUGAAUCAUAUACAAGUUUUAGUCAAUAUGUACAAAGAAAAAAGAAGAGAGAAAAACCCACAUCGUACUAACCAUGAUGACAUUGAGUUUUAUGAGCUAUGUCCCCCCCCCCCUGCACCACCGUUCCUCCUUAGAUUAUAGAUUAGACUGUAGAUAGUAUAUACCAUGCUCCCUAACAAAUAUGAGGUGAAAGUGUAACACCCGAUUCAAGGUAUUUCACAUCUUGGAACCUUGGUGUGUAAUUAGUUUGCAAUUUUGGUUCUUACGGGCAUUAUUAUAGUUUUUGGGAGGAGAGUGUGUACGCUAGGCGUACCUCAUGUACAUUGGGCAUACGUAAUAACGGGAGAAACCCUAAUUUUAGGGUUUGGACCCUAUUUAAUAAACCUUAUGUCUUAAGGUUCUCUCAUUUCCUAACCUCCAUUGCCCUUUUGAGCCUCAUUUUCAAACCCAAGCUCAUCUAGAGAGAUUUGACCCCUUUGUGUGUUUUAAUGGGUUUUUGGUGAACCUUAAAGAAGAAGAAGCUUGGAGAAGGAGAAUUAAUCAAGGAGGAGCUUGUAGAUCCAGACUUCACUCAUCAUUUUCAGCUCCAUAAAGGUAUAAAGCUUGGAAUUUGCUCAUUCUUUACUUAGAUCUUGUUGUUGUGGAUUUUUGGACACUUUUUAGUCCCAUGAAUGAGAUCUAGUGGGGUUCUUUCACUCCAGAAGCUAGGAGUUGCUCCUCUUGAUGUUUCACUCUAGAAGUAUAUGUCCAUUUGAUGAAAGUAGGAUGCUAAGUCUAAUGUUUGGGUCCAUUUAAACCAUGCAAAGGCACCAAGUUAGUGACUUUAUGAAUUAAGAUGUUCCCCAAGGCUUGAAUUUGAAAUUUGGAGAUUUGGUCUUAAGCAAUCAGGACUUAAUUGAUGAAGUGGUUAAAGGAGGAGUACGUCGGGCGUACGAAUGCAAACGUUGCGCAUACGCGUCUAGAUCCCUGACUUUGUGUAGUGACCUUGUACGUUGGGUGUACUAGGGAAACGCUUAGCGUAUGGGACCUGGUCAUGGACUUUGAUGUUGGGCCGCCUUUGGAAUUUCGAGUUUUGGUCCCUUGUUGGGCCACAAGUCUUUCUACUUAUGGGCCACUGUUAGGGCUUGGGCCUUCUUGGAUUUGGGGCCAUUUUGGGCUUUGAGUGUCCUUUAUUAAUUGGGCCAUUAUUUGGACUUUUGUUCCAUUGAGUUUGGGCCUCGACUUUUGGGCCAGUUGAGGGCAGGGUAAUUAUUUGAUUAGUUAGUGUUCGAAUUCUCCUGUUCAACAACCUGAGUGCAUCUAUUUAUUUGACAACAGACUGCGGUGAGUUUCCACACUAUACUCUAGGAAACUAGGGGUUGUAUGUGCAUGUAGUCUUUGUGACUCCUAUAGUAUGUCAUGUAUGUAUGUGUACCUGAUUGCUAUAUUUAUGUGGGGUGGAAUAGACCCGAGGGUGAAAUAGACUCGAUACAGCCUCAUGCUGACAUAUAAAUUAAAAUAGACUUGGGGGUUAAAUAGACCCGGGGUGAAAUAGACCCGAUAUAGCCUUAUGUUGGAAUAUGAUUUAAAAUAAACACGGGGGUGAAAUAGACCCGACACAACCUUGAGCUGGCAUAUAUGUAUGGUACGUGGUAUUUUCGGGAACUCACUAAGCUUUGUGCUUACGAUUUUCAGUUUAUGUUUUAGGUACUUGCGGAUCAAAAGGGAAGAGCUUGGGAUGAUUGUACUGCACACACCAUAUUUUUCCUACUUAUUGACUCUGAUGUACUUUUGGGAUGUUAUUUGACAUACCCUAAAUACUUUAUUGUUUUGACAAACAUUUUAGUUGAUGGUUUAUUCAAUAGAAAAACAAAAAAUUUUGGUUCUGAGUUUUGGGACGUUACAAGUUGGUAUUAGAGAUUUGGUUUGAAGGAUUCGGGAAUUCUCUCAGGUGUGUCUGAACUCAAACUGAGGAUUUGGUAGAUUUUCAUUAAAAGAAAUGUUUUAUAAAAGAAAUUUUUAAUAAAAGAAAAGGGUGUCGUGCAUGCAAUCAGCCGAGCUCAAGUAAGUUUUCCUAAAAUACCCAUACAUGUUUAGUGAUAUGAUUUGAAAUGAGAAUCUGUGAAUCAUAUGCUAGAUUAGGGCUAAGGAUCUACUCAGGAUUGCAUGAUAGAAUUCUAGGAGAGAUGCCUUUAUAUGGCUACUGUAUGAUCUUGUAGACUUAUAUGCUAGUACUAAUCAGUCUGUGAUAGGAUAGCAUGUUUAGGUUAUGCUUUGAUUCCGAUUACUCAAUGCUUAAAUGAUGCUUGCUUUGUACUUUUAGGAGUUACCAUUAAUAUCAACUAACAAGUAAGUGAAGAUGCUAUGUUACAUAUUAUUGAGAUUAGAUAAUUUUAUAAGGCUAGGUUUAACCCUAUUGUGCAACUCUUGUUUGACUCCAAUCAUUGUAUGGUGAGACCCUUCAUUCGAAUAAUUAUCUAGUGUCGGUAAUAUGUAAUUGUGUUCGUAAGCUAGUUAGAGGGUGUUAUAGGGAGUUAUUUAUGCAGCUGAUGGCGGGGAGUGGUGUGGUGGUAGCCCUAGGAAAACCUAGGAUAUGAUUCAGUGUCGAGAGCUUUACUUUGCUAGAGGUCGUUUGGAUUGAUAGGGAAGUAACUUGGGGAAUUUGGAGCGAUUCAUGAGGAAAGUAAGGAUAAAUGUGGAAGGUAGUAUGGGCCCAUACUAUUAGAAGCAUAGGAUCAGUACUCGAGUCAAGGAAAGUCACGAUGAUACCAAGAAGAUUGUUGAAUGUGGGAUUCUUCGAAUAUAUUAUGAUGGUUUAUAUGGUUUAUUUUCAGUAUCGUCGUCACUUGAGGAGGUUCUGAUAGUGGUUAUAGUACCGAUGAUGGUUCAGGUUCUGGCGCUUUUCGUUCUGAGAUUGUGGCGAUGAUGGGAGCCCACUAUUUGACUUUUCGAGAGUUUCGGGAAAGUGGGGCACCAAAGUGCUUCGGGAAGAAGGACCCGAUUGCAAGCAAGCAUUGGUUAGUGGAUGUCAUGAACACAUUUCGUACUAGUUAUUGCCCCAAGGGGGAAAAAGGUCAUACUUGCAUCCUAUCUUCUGAAAGAUAGAGCUCGAGAUUAGUGGGAAGAGGUUGGACAUGCCUUGGGAGGUGAGGCGAUUCAGUCGAUGACUUGGGAGGAUUUCGUGAGGAGGUUUUGAGCUGAAUUUACACUUGUGAUUGAGGUCCAACAGUUGGCGAGUGAGUUUUAGGACCUUCACCAGAAUACUGAGACGGUGUCGGAGAUCACCGCUAUGUUCUAUGAGAGGGAAUUAUUGGAUCCGCAGUACAUGGCAGACAAGCAGAUGAAGAAGGCAAGAUACCAUGAUAUGUUGAGGAGCAAUAUUAGGCGGUUUGUGAGCAGAUCCAAUUGUAAGACACUAGAUGAUAUGGUGGCACGAGCCAGAGAGGGAUAUUGAUUUGGAAAUGGAGAAGAAGAGGAUGUAAUAUUAGGUUCAGGGUUCUGAGGGUUCAGGCAAGAAGCCCAAGGUUUUUGAUUCGAGAUCGAUAGGCCAACAGGGUCGGGGCCACUUUGGCAAGUCCGGCAAGACGCACGAGGGAGCUUGCAGGGGGGUGGAUCAGACUAUUAUAAGUGUGGCAAGACUGGGCACUUUAGCCGGGAUUACACAACCACCAGCUAGGGAUCGAGUCUGAUUUGCUUUCAUUGUAAUUAGAGGGGACACAAAAGGCUGAUUGUCCGCGUUUAGCAGCGGCAGGACUAGCUGUAGCACCCAAUCUAGGGACCUUAAAGAUUACAGAUGGUCGUCAGGGCAAGGCAGAGAUGUAUGUUGUAAGGAGCAGGGCAUUCCAGCUGACAGCUGAGGAGGCUCGCGUAGCACUUGAUGUGGUGACGGGUAUGUUUCUUCUCCUUACCUAUUUAUUUAUAUUGAUUUUCAUUGCUUAUAUAUGUGUUUUGCUUUUAGUGUCAUUCCUUAUGAAUGAUAUCUUUGCUUUGGUUAUAUUUGAUUUGGGGGUCACCCUAUCCUCUGUAGCUCUUGCGCUCAACAAGAGAUUUGCUGAUGCUCUAGUGGAGCUGAAGUAUCCAUUAGAGGUUGAAAUUGCUGAUAAUCGACUUGUGCGAGUAUCAAGGGUUCAUCGGGGUUGUGUACUCGAGUUGUUUAGUGAGCAUUACCCAAUUGAUUUGGUUCCCAUUCCUUUGCGUGAGAGUAAGGUUAUUGUAGGGAUGUAUUGGUCGAGCCCCAAUGGGAAAUGAUUGAUUGCGAGCAUCAUUUGGUGCGUAUCCAGACCUAAAGUGGGGGAGAGUUAGUGAUUCAGGGAGUGGGUGUUCAGCGUGGGUCGUCUCUUUGUUCAGCAGCCAGAGCCAGACGCUAUCUUCAGCAGGGUUGUUUCGGAUUUAUGGCUUAUGUGAUGGAUACCCAAGAUAAGGGUAAGGCAAUGAUAGGUGAUGUACCGAUUGUUUGGGAAUACCCGGAUGUGUUCCUGGAGGAUUUUCCUAGAGUGCCUACGGAGAGGCGGGUAUAGUUUCAGAUUGAUUUGGUUCAAGGUGUGACUUUGAUAGCCAAAUCACCUUAUCGGUUAGCAUCCACAGAGAUACAAGAGUUAUCUACACAACUGCAGGAGCUAUUAGAAAACGGAUUCAUUCGGUCUAGUAGUUCACCAUGGGGAGCACCAAUAUUGUUUUUGAAGAAGAAAGAUGGGUCGCAUCGAAUGUGUAUCGACUAUCGAGAGCUGAAUAAGCUAACGGUGAAUUUGAUCAGCUCCAGGGUGUAUCUUUGUUUUCCAAGAUUGAUAUAUGUUUGGGUUAUCAUCAGAAGAGGGUUAAAGAGGAGGAUACGCAGAAGAGCGUCUGAGGGAGGUAUUGGAGACUCUGAAGAGGGAGAAAUUAUAUGUGAAGUUCUCCAAGUGUGAGUUCUGGUUGCACGAGGUGCAUUUUUUGGGGCACCUUGUCAACCAUAAUCAUAUUCUGGUCGACCCGGCCAAGGUCAAAGCAAUGAUGAGGUGGGAAGCUACGAGGUCUCCAUCUGAGAUUCGGAGUUUCCUUGGAUUGGCAAGUUAAUAUCAGAGAUUCAUUUAGGAUUUCUCAAAGAUAACGAUUCUUUUGACCUAGUUGACGAAGAAGAUCGUCACGUUUUGUUGGGGGCCUAAGAAACAAGCAGCUUUUGAGACUCUAAGAGGAAGAUUGUGUGAGGCAUCGAUUCUAAUCCUGCCAGAGGGUGUUGAGGAUUUUGUGGUGUACUGAUCAAUCAUGGGUUUGGGUGCAGUGUUGAUGCAACGGGGUCAUGUGAUUGCUUACGCUUCAAGGCUGCUAAAGCCUCAAGAGGCGAAUUACCUCUAUGGGGUUGUGGUGUUCUCCCAUAAGAUUUGGCGACAUUACCUCUAUGGGGUCGGUUGUACUGUCUACAAGGUUCAUACGCGUCUUAGGUAUCUGAUGGAUCAUCCAAAUUUAAAUAUGAGGCAGCGUAGAUGGUUGGAUGUGGUGAAGGAUUGUGAUUGUGAGAUCUUUUAUCACCCAAGAAGGCCAACGUGGUGGCCAAUGCUCUCAGCCGCAAGGCAGUUGUUGCCCCGACCAGGGAUGUGUGUUUGAGGAUGACCGUAAUUACCCCACUCUUAGAGUAGAUUUGAGAGGUUCAUGUUGAGGCUAUGAAGGAAGAGCACCGGAAGAGCGAGUGCAUAGCGGGUCAGGUGGCUUCCUUCGAUUAUGAUAUCCGAGGAUUAUUAACCCUUCAACGAAGGGUGUAGGUUCCAUAUCGGGGUGGUGCGCAUCAAGUUUUGAUGGAGGACGCGCACAAGUAGAGAUGUUCUAUUCAUACCGAAGUGAGAAAUAUGUAUAGAGAUCUUUAGUCUGAUUAUUGGUGGCCAUGUAUGAAGAGAGACGUAGAAUGGUAUGUGGAGAGGUGCUUGACUUACAGGAAAGUCAAGGCUAAGCAUCAGCGACCCCAUGACAAAAUGAAGUCGUUGGAAGUCCCCAUUUGGAAAUAGGAAGAGAUUACGAUGGAUUUUAUCACCAAAUUUCCUAGGAUGGCAUGCGAAGAGGAUUCAAUAUGGGUCAUCGUGGAUCGAUUGACCAAGAGUGUGCAUUUCAUUCCAAUCCAGGAUAGAAUGUCAAGAAGAAACUGGCUGAUAUCUACAUUCGGGAAGUGGUAGCAUGGCAUGGGGUACCGGUUUUGUGGUCUCUGAUAGGGAUGUUUGGUUUGCUUCCGGGUUCUAGAAGAGAUUCCAUGAGGAGUUAGGUACUCGUUUGCACUUCAACACGACUUUCCAUCCGCAUACAGAUGGUCAGAGUAAGCAGACUAUACAGACAUUGGAAGACAUGCUGCGAGCAUGCGUAUUGUAUUUUGGCGGUAGUUGGGAUACGUUUCUUCUUUUGGCGGAAUUUUCGUAUAACAACAGUUAUCAUGCCAGCAUUGAUCGACCUUCUUUUGAGAUGCUCUACGAGAGGAAGUGUAGGACCCCGAUAUGUUGGGGUGAGGUCGGUCAACGGGUCAUGGGGAUUAUAGAGGUAGCACUCAAGAUGAUAGAAUCGAUUCAGCAGGUUCGUGACAGACUACAGACAACACAAAGCCGACAGAAGAGUUACACAAAUAAACAAUGGUCAGACUUGGAGUUCCAGGUUGGGGACAUGGUGCUCCUGAAGGUGUCACCUUGGAAAGGUGUCAUCAGAUUCAGGAAGCGAGGCAAGAUAGGCCCCAAGUAUAUUGGUCCUUUCAAGCUAUUAGCCUGGGUGGGCUGGGUUGAGUAUCAUUUGGAUAUUCCAUCGGAGCUCAGUCAGAUCCAUACAACUUUUCCAUUCUCUCAGCUACAGAAAUGUUUCAUUGAUGAUUCCGCAGUGGUUUCCAUUGGAGACAUUCUGGUGUACGACCACCUGAAUUGUAUAGAGAUACUAAUGGCGAUCCCUGACAGGAGGACGAAGACUCUGCAAAACAAGGUGUUAGAUCUUAUGAAGGUGUAGUGGCAGCACUGAAAGAGUUCAGGGUGGACGUGGGAGCCUGAUGACGAGAUGAAGGAGCAUUAUCCAGAGUUACUUGCGGCAGCGGACUUCGAGGACAAAUUCUAAUUCAAGUGGGGGAGAAUUGUAACACCCGAUUCAAGGUAUUUUUCAUCUUGGACCCUUGUUGUGUCAUUAGUUUGCAAUUUUGGUCCUUAGGUGCAUUAUUGUAAUUUUUGGGAGGAGAGUGCGUACGUUGGGCGUACUUCCUGUAUGUUGGGCGUACGUAAUCAAGGGAAAACACUAAUUUUAGGGUUUGGACCCUAUUUAAGCAACCUUAUGUCCCAAGGUUCUCUCAUUUCCUAGCCUCCAUUUCCAUUUUGAGCCUCAUUUCGAAACCCUAGCUCAUCUAGAGAGAUUUGACCCUUUUAUGUGUGUUUUAGUGCGUGUUUGACUGUUUCGUGAACCUUGAAGAAGAAGAAGAUUGGAGAAGGAGCAUUAAUCAAGAAGGAGCUUGUAGAUCUAGAUUUCACUCAUCAUUUUCAUCUCCAUAAAGGUAAAAAGCUUGGAUCUUGCUCUUUCUAUGCUUAAAUCUAGUUUUUGUGGAGUUUUGGACACAUUUUGGUCCUAUGAAUGAGAUCUAGUGGGAUUCUUCCACUUCAGCAGUUAGGAGUUGCUCCUUUUGAUGUUUUUGAGAUCCCUAGUCCAUAAAGUUAGCAUCUUGAUGGUUGAGGAUCACCAAGUAUGAGUAUAUUUCCAUUUAGUGAAAGUAGGAUGUUAAUGUUUGGGUCCAUUUAAGCCAUGCAAAGGCAUCAAGUUAGUGACUUUAUUAAUUAAGACGUUCCCCAAGGCAUGGAUUUGAAAUUUGGACAUUCGGUGUUAAGAAAAAAGGACUUAAUGGAUGAAGUGGCUGAAGGGGCGUACGGCGGGCUUACUAGGGGAACGCGUAGCAUAUGCGACCUGGUCAUGGGGUUUGAUGUUGGGCCGCCUUUGGACUUUCGGGUUUUGGAUCCUUGUUCGGGCACACGACUUUCUAAUUAUGAACUAUUGUCAGGGCUUGGGCCUUCUUGGAUUUGGGCCUAUAUUUGGCUUUGAGUGUCCUUUAUAAAUUGGGCUAUUAUUUGGGCUUUUGUGCUAUUGAGUUUGGGCCUUGACUUUUUGGCCAAUUGAGGGAAGGGUAAAAUGGUCUUUUAGCCUGGGGAUCGGGAUUAGUUGUUUAAAGUCCCGAUUAUGAUUUAUGACCCAAUUAUUAAUUAGGGAUUUAUUCGAUUGGUUAGUGUGGGGAUUCUCCGAUUCAGUAGUCGAACAACUAUUUGACUGACAACAGACUGAUGUGAGUUUGGUUACUAUACUCUAUUAAUUAAGACGUUCCCCAAGGCAUGGAUUUGAAAUUUGGACAUUCGGUGUUAAGAAAAAAGGACUUAAUGGAUGAAGUGGCUGAAGGGGCGUACGGCGGGCUUACUAGGGGAACGCGUAGCAUAUGCGACCUGGUCAUGGGGUUUGAUGUUGGGCCGCCUUUGGACUUUCGGGUUUUGGAUCCUUGUUCGGGCACACGACUUUCUAAUUAUGAACUAUUGUCAGGGCUUGGGCCUUCUUGGAUUUGGGCCUAUAUUUGGCUUUGAGUGUCCUUUAUAAAUUGGGCUAUUAUUUGGGCUUUUGUGCUAUUGAGUUUGGGCCUUGACUUUUUGGCCAAUUGAGGGAAGGGUAAAAUGGUCUUUUAGCCUGGGGAUCGGGAUUAGUUGUUUAAAGUCCCGAUUAUGAUUUAUGACCCAAUUAUUAAUUAGGGAUUUAUUCGAUUGGUUAGUGUGGGGAUUCUCCGAUUCAGUAGUCGAACAACUAUUUGACUGACAACAGACUGAUGUGAGUUUGGUUACUAUACUCUAGGACAUUAGGGAUUGUAUGUGCUUGUAAUCUUUGUGACUCCUGCUAUAUGUGUGGUAUGUAUGUGUGCCUUAUUGCUAUNUAUAUAUAUAUAUAUAUGGUAUGUACUAUUUUGGGAAUUCACCAAGAUAUAUGCUUACGGUUUUCAGUUUCUGUUUCAGAUACUUCAGAAUCAAAAGGGAAGAGCUCAGGAUGAUCGUACUGCACACACCAUGAUUUUCCCACUAAUUGACUCGGGUAUACUUUUGGGAUGUUAUUUGACAUAUCCUUAAUACUUUAUGGUUUUGACAAACAUGUUUGAUUGAUGGUUUAUUUAAUAUAAAAACGAAAAUUUUUGGUUUUGAGUUUUCAGACAUUACACAAAGUCAGUCUGUUGAUUUUGAAAGCCAUAUGCAAAUAGUACAAAAAUGAUCCCUAAAAUUUUGGAUUAGCGACAUAUUAAUGAUAAAUAGCAUUAGAAUAGCAAAAUAUUAGUGAUGAAUCAAAAUUUUGGUCCCUUUCUUGACAUAGGAAUUGUAUCAUCAUACAUCCGACACAUCUUUAAAAUCGACCUGAUGAAGAUACAUCGAUGACCCAGUUGAUCAUAAUCAACAUUUUUUAAUAUAUUUCUAGUUUUUUUCUUUUUUUUCAAUUACAAUGUUUAACAGGUGGUUUUUUAUAUUUAAACUUUAUUAUAUUCAAGUCACAAUCAUUCGAACAAUUGCCAAUUUAAGUGUAUGGUCGUUUGGCAUCAUAAACAUGUAGACUGUGACUUUUUAGACUACAAACGAUAUUAGAAAUUAGACAGUGCUAUAGGAUUCACAUACUUAUAUUUAUCCCGUUUAAUACUUUAAUAUGUGAAUAUUCACCUUUUAUUAAUUAUCUUCUUUUGACAAAUGAUUAAUCAAUUCUUUGCAUAUGGUUACCAAAAUCAACUUUCGUGAAGAAUAUUCUUUGUCAAUAACUAAGCAUGUAAAGGAAUAUUUUACAAGACUAUUUUUUUACAAUGAAUUGAUUAACAAUGUGUGAUUGCUUUUCAAACUCUUUAUUAUCUUUUUGGAAAAACCAUAAAUUUCUGGUUUUUUUUUAAAAAAAUCAUUUUUUUCACUAAAAGUUACUGUUUAUCAAACAUUUUUUAAUUUAAUGAAUUUUUAAAAAAUCAAUUCAAUCUAUUCUAAUAAAUGAAAGUUUUUUUGCCACGUGUCCUCUUCUCCUUCAUUUUGAUACAUAACAUUUUCUAAAAUUUUUAAAUUUUCUAUUUUUUACUUGUUUAUUUUAUUGUAUUUUUCAUUUUAUUAAAUUAAAAUUCCACAUUUAAUAUUUUAGGUAAUAUAUAUGUAAAAUAUUUAUUAGAAAUAGUUUAUAUAAGUAAUGUAUUCAAUACACUCAAGCUUUAUUAAUUUUAAUAAUUCAAAAGAUUUCUUAUUUUUCUUAUAAAUUCAAACUUUUCAAAUUGUUAAAAUUUUAUAUUUAAUUUUUUUUAAAUAAACCCAUAUAAUAUAUGGACUUAUACUUAAAAAUUUAAUAAGCUAUUUAAAAAUCCGUCACAAACACCCCCUAAAUAUUAUGUUAAAUAUUACUUGUUUCAUGUAAGGGACUACAUGUUCGAAUCUUUUGAUUAAAUCAUAGAGUUUUGAACGCCUAAUACUUAACAACAUACAGUCUAGUUAACAAGUUAAAAAAAAUUGACAUUUUUUAUAUAAUUUACUGAUCAAAAUAUCAAAAUAUUAACUUUAACUAACUAAAACAAAAAUAUUACUAAGUAUUAUUCGCAAUUUAUUUGAACUUGCCAUAGAAGUAGGGGAUGAUCAAACUGAAGGUAAGGUAUACAUACUUUACUCUCUAAAAUGCUUUUUUUUUUUCCAAAUCAAAGAUUCAAAGGGGAUGCUUUUGAUUCGGAUAAGAACAUAGAUUAAAUGGUAAUCGAAUUGUGAAGAUUAUAAAAUUUAUCCUGGAUUUCUUUUUUCGUUUUUAAAUAUUUUUUAAAUACAUAUUUCAGUUCUAAAAAAUGUAAUUUAAUAUGAACCAACCUAUUUGUAAGUUUCUUAUUUUGUCGUGGGUUUCUUUUUAUUUAAUUAAACAAUGGAUUUUAUCACUUGUAACUCAUUUGUUUAUGAGAAGUGCCCGUUUAUAAAGAGAUCGACAAAGAUGACCAUAAGGAAUGGAUAAUUUAAUUGAAAUGAUCAUUUUUAUUUUAAGAUGAUUUCUUUGGUUAUUACAUUUCGGGUUAAUUUAUGGUACAUUAAAUGUAUUUUUUAAUAAAAGAUAAUAUAUUUUAGAUUAUAACACAACUUAGACCAAGGGUGUGGGUGGUAAACUCCCAUCUUCUUUUUGUAGGCCACAAUACAUUUUCUUUCAUUUUGCUUUCCUUCACCUAAACCCAAGGAAUGGGUAGCAAUCUUCUUUCACUAUUUUUUUUAAGUAUAUAUUUUCUACAAUUAUUAUACUCAUUUUGUAGGGAAUUAAAAACCAUGAGUUUUGAUAUAUUAUUUAUAAUUUUUAGUAGAUAUAUAAUUUAAUAAGUAUUAAAAAAAAGUUAGCCAAUAGAAAUAGGAGAGAGAGUGCGGCAAUGAGCUCCCUCACCACCUUUCCCUCAGUCAUGGAGUGGUGUUCAGGUGAGAGGGAAAUCUUCCCGCACCCUUUCCCUCACCCACACCGUCCGGACUUACAAUACAAGUUCAAAAUACAAUGGACAAUUUCCAAAAAAAUGUUUAUUUUUUAAUUAGAUUUUUUUUUUUUCUGAAAUGGAAACUAACUAACAUACUCUCAAACAACCACCUAUGUCUCCACCAAGACUUGAACUCAUGAUCUCUCAUAUGAGAGAGUCACUUCUUACCGUUAGACCAUUGACCAUUUUGUAUUUUUUUUUUUAUAAGAAAUAAAAAAUAGAUACAAUAAUAUAAUGACUUCAAAUGUUAAAUAUGACUGUAAAUAGAAUAUUGCAUUAGACAUUUUAAAAUUAUCAUUUUAGACAUAAGUAUAAAGUAUUUUCUAUAAAAUAGAAAAAAAUACACAUAUUAUAUAUUUCUAGUUAGUCUAGACUGCUUCAUUCCAUACUCAUAGGUAAUUUCGGUAAAAUACAUAUAAAAAAUGUCAAAUAUAUAUAUAUAUAUNCACAGACAUAUAUAUAUAUAUAUAUAUAUAUAUAUAUAUAUAUAUAUAUUCUAAACAAAAAAAAGUUCAUUUUGUUAAUAUUUUUCUAUAAGUGGCUUAUUUAGCAAUUCGGGUUAUUUAAUCCAAGCCACAAAACCAAAAUUCUAUACGCAUGGCCACAACACUUUUUGGAAAUAUAAAAGUUUACAUGAUUCAUAAACAAACACUUUAUAUAAACCACGUCGACAAUAUACCCAAGGAUCAUACGUCACCAUUACAAAAGUAAAACACAAAACAUCCACAAAUUGAUAAAAAUGUUUAUCUUCCAUCCAUCUUAUUUUUUGCUUUUUAAAUACAAUGUGGUCAUCGAAAUUCCUAGGAAUGUAACUCUCUUUCGCACUUAAACCAUGUGUCGUCACUCUGUUGUUUGAAGGAUGUGGCCAAACAUGCACGCUAGGAAUGACACGCUGUCUCUGAUGGCCCACGAAUUUGAGGCUAUUCUGCUGUAGACAUGCACAAACCGGUUCGGUUUUGGUCAACUUAGUCAAAACCGGUUCACCCGGAAACUGGUUCGGUUCCAAACUGGUUCAGCCCCAAAAAAAUCCAAACAUAUGUAAACGGUUCAAAAAUUGUUUCGAUGCAUAUAAGGUUUUUAAAUUUUUUUUUUUUGUUUUUGGGCUAAUAAGUGUAAAAUAUGAAUGAGUUUUUUUUUUGUUUAGAUUAUAUUGCUUUAAAUUGUAUUUAACUAUAUAAAAAAAAAAUGGGCUUCACAUUAGGUUUUUUUGGGUGGAAUGAAUUGGGAAGGCAUAAGCCUUAUGGUAAUACACACAUAUUACAUAUACACGUCCAUAUAUAUGGCAAAAGAUUCUUUUUAUUAUUUUUUUCUUUUGUUUCUUGUUUAAUAAUAUACAUAUCUUUUGAUAUAUUAACCUUUUUUUUUUUGGUUUUAAAUUUGAUGUUUGUGUAUAUAUACAAAAACAUAAUGUAUGUACAAAAUUGUUCAACUUGAAUCAACAUAUUUUUUGGAGCAAUUUUCAACAUUUGUUUUUUAUUUUUUUGUUUUUUUAUAUUGGAAAUAUAUAAUACAACUUCAAACAUAAAAACACAAAACUUCCAAAUUGUCAAACUAAUACAUAUUCAAAUCUAAAACAUUGUUGUUGUCAUAGUCUUCAUUCCAAGUUCGUAGUCAUUGUAUUUAUUCGUCAUUCGCCAUGUCGUUGCGUAAUCCUCUCUCAUACUCGAUCUCUUCUAGGGUGAGUGGCACCGACAUUCCCAUCGCUACUUCUUCCUCAUGUACUCGUGCUUCGGCAUGCAAUGAUGUGUCUUCUAGUACUUCAAUGUCUUGUAUCUGUUCCACGCCAUCAAGGUAGCAUUUUAAGCAAAUGCACACUUCCACCAACGAAGGGGUUAGUUUUGUUCUUCUUGGUGAUAUUACCAUGCCACUAACAGAAAAAGCCGAUUCCGAAGCUACCGUAGAAGCUUGGGAGCUUAGUAGAUCACAGGCCAUAAUCGCUAGAAUCGGAAAUUAGGUUUCUUUUCCUUUCCACCAAGCCAAAAUAUCAUAAAUUUUAAACUCUUGAAUACUCAUUUGAGACAAGAAAUCGGAACCAAUGUACCUUCCAAGCUCGCUACUAGGGGUGUUAGACCGAGCUCGUUUGGAAUUUCCAUUCCUCAAAGUAUUAUAAAGUCUAAUUGUUUUGUUAUUUUGAUGAGAAGUAGAUCCGGAUGCCCCCGUAUUUUGCAUCAUGUCAUUAAUGUUUGUUGAACCAGAUUUUGUUAAAUAAACUUCAAACAAAUUUUGAAACACUUUGUUAAAUUUUGAAACUUCCUUUGAUGCAUAAUCCAUGUCAUCAUCCAAUAAACCAAAUCGUAACAAAUAUUUUCAAUUAAAGUCUCAACUCCCCCAACAUUUAUAUUGUUCGACAUUACACACAAAUCAUAGUUGCACCAAAUAGUCGGAUUUCUAUUUGUUUAUGUGAUGCUAAUAGCGGUAAGAUUGUUUGAUGAAUCUCCAACACCAACGGAAGUUGAAUCCAUUGUUUGAAUUAAGAGUGUUUUUUGAACUAAGAGAGGUUUUUUGAGGUUGGGUUAAGGUAAAGUUGAGAGCUAAACAUCUAAUACAUAUAUAUACUAUAAGGAAUGGUUAACAUGGUAAAAAAGGAGCCAAAAUCGGGUUUUCAACAGCCUCAAACAGCUAUAUAGCCGGUAGGAAAAGACAAAAAAAACAGUAACAUUCGAAAACCGGUUCACUAAAGGUAACCUUCGAAAACCGGUUCCAAACUGGUCUCAAGGGUACAAAGUGCGAAUUGGUCCAAUCCGGUGGUUCCGUUCACUAUCGAUUCGGUUCUUACGUGAACCAGUUUAGGGCUAAACCAGUUUUGGUUCGGCUACCGGUUCGGUUCCUGAACCGAUUUUUUUGCCCACGCCUAUGUCGUAACAACGGCCUCGAUAUUUACCUCUCUCUUUUGUCUACUUUUUAGGUUGCAAGGCAUGGGCCAGUUAAGGGGCGUUUUUUCCUAUGUGGAGGCACUUCAACGCCACCAACCUUGCACCUCAUUGGCUUCUCGCUGCUUCCCGUUGCCGGUGUAACACCGUUAAAGCCCGUUUUUCUUUAUUCCUUCUUCCGUUUUCUUCUUUUCUUCUUCCUCAACGUUGUUUCAAUAAAAUGGAAAACAUCUCCUUUAGAUGUUAUGGAGAGAACAUGACGAUGUGGCAGCGUUGUGUAUGGGGUUGGAAACUAAUUAUUCAAAGAUUUUGUGUUAAACCGUCUAAAUGGAAAGUAAGAUGUUGUUUGUUUUUUGUCUAUAGAUUUUCUUGGUCUCUUUUGUCUGCGCCGCACACACCAUGAGUAGACAUUAAUCUUCGCAAACUUUUUGUUUUUUUUUUGAAGACUAGAGACCUAAAAAUGUAUGUGUUUCCUCUUCUUGACGCAGAAAUAAACAAGAGUUUUCUAACAUCUUUAAACAUCUUCUAGCCUAAAAAAACAUAUACAUCUUUGUUUAUUAUUUUUUUUUUCAAACUUAGAUUUUUUCAAACUUUAUCUAUGAUAAACAAUUUGAAAAAAAAAUUAUAAUACUUAAAGAAAAAAUGUUCGACCACACGCAUGACCAUUGUAACAAAUUUAUAAAUAGACAUUUAAUUACAUUACUAGGUGUUGGAGCAUAAAUAUCAAAAAAAAAAUCUUAAUAUUGUUUUAUAUUUUUUGUGCCAAGUUUUAUAAAUAUUAUUUAAUAAAGUAUCAAUCAUUUAUUAGGAAAAAUAUUUAUGAUUAGUUUUUAAUUGAUUAAAUUAAAAAAAUAAAAUGAACCGUUUGAAAGUUCCAUUUUAAAAUUGAAGUUUAUCUACUUCUAUUUUAUAUGUCAAAUUAUUUGAUCCCUAAUUACAAUAUUUAGACAUAACUUAGUGACUAAAGCUUAUUGGGUUUUUUAUCGUUAAUUCAUACAAUUUUAUUUUCAAUUUUUAUACAACAAUACAUAAAAUUUGAUCUAGAUUUUUUAAUUAUCUAUAAUAAAGUCAUAAAAGUAUUGAAAAUCUCUUUUAAGUUUAAGAAAAAUGAGUUUAUUUAGAUUUUAGUAGAUUUUAGCAAUCUACAGACAUUACAAAGCAAACGGUCUUCUUCUUUCAGACUGUAGACAUUUAGUCCACCUCUUCUACUACAGAGGUCUACAAAUAUGGUGUGCAGACUGGCAUUUUGCCUCAGAAAAAACAAACAACACCUAAAAUGCUUUCCAUAAUGGUUCUCUCGAUGUUAUUGAGUUUGGUGCUUAGAUCCCUUGGUCACUAUUACAUGUUUAUUUCCUUGAUUCUUAUCACCAAAAAGAUGAAUUUUGGAAUCAUUCAGCUCAAAAAAUUUCUAGUACGAUGAAUAGCAUGAGAGAAAAAUGCGUCGGGUGAAAUAUGACUUGGUUAUUAUUUCCAACGAUAAAGAUUAUAUUGAGAAUAGAAGCUUGGAAGGUUUCAUGUGUGCUCUUUUUCAAAGAUGGAGACGGAGUUUGGUGAAUGAGAAAAAUGCUCUUAGGAGUAGGGUUGGAUGGUGCUAUUUCUCCACUUUAGUUUAGUAGGUGUGGUCGAGGAUUGCUAAGGCUACUAAAAAUGCAUGAUAAAGAUAUUAUUCCCAACACUUUGUGAAAAAAAACUGAGGAACGAUCAAGAAACAAUGUUUUGGAAAGAGGUAUGGUGUGGGGUUGUUCCUUUUCGAGAUUGUGUGGUUAGUGCUCGUUGGGAAUUACAAUAUAGGGGUGCAACACUAUAUAGGUUAUUUAUUGUUGUUGGAUGCUUUGCAUGCUACUAGAUGGAAAAAUUAGGUGCUUCAAAAGGUAAAGGUUUUUGUGUCGCUUGACUACCAACUAGAUGGAACAUUGAUAGAAAUGGGAUGGAUGUUACUGUUGGAUAAAGGUGUCUAAACUUAUAAUUAAAUUGAUAUAAACUUGCAAAUAGAAGCAAAAUCUUUUUUUAGGGUUUCCUCAUAACUAGAACUUUAUUAGAAUGGCAUUUGUAGAGAGAUGAUAAUUUAUUAGAUUAUUAUAUGAUUAAUAAACUAAUUGAAAAUUAUGAGAAAAUGAUUUGUUAAUAUAUUAUAUUAUUAAUAUAUUAAUUAGAAAUAGAUAGUUGAUUUGUUAAUUUAUUAUGUGAACAAUAAAUUAAUAUGAGAUCAAUUGUUAAAUAGUUGAUUUGUUAAUUUAUAUGAUAAGCACAAACACAUGAACAUUUAUUAGGUUGUUUAACAGAUUUUUGUGGCUUGAAUUUUUCAACAGUGGGAGUAUCAUUAUCACAAGUUUUUAAAUCAUUUUCAGCAGAACUAGAAUUAUUUUUGGUCUGCUCAUGCUCAUCUUGCACUGUGACCUUAUCUGCACAUGAGGUAGAAACAUUAGUAUCAUUCACACUAUCAUUAUUUACUGUCUCAACUACAGUACGUUUGCCAUACUGUAGGUGUGCUUCCUUUGCCUUUUCUUCCUCAGUCAUAGGAGUAAAAGUGUAGUUAUCAUUGAAUGGAGGAGAAACACUAUUAUACUCUAGACCUACAUUCUUUUUGUCUUGCCAUCUUAGUUGCUUUUGAAUCAUUGUAUCAACUUUCUUACUUGACACAUCAAAUUUUUUAAAAUUAAAAUCGACAUUUUCAAACUUAAUUCUCAAUGUGUCGAGCUCAACAGUUAGAUUGUAAAUCUUUUCUUGAGCAUAAUCAUAAUGUUCACAUUUAGUGUUGUAUUCUUCCUUAAUUCUUUUUAGAUCUUUGGUUUGGGCCUCUAAUUUUUCUUUUAAGGGUUUUUGGGCAUUUCUGAGAGUAUAUCAUUCAUAUUUAAGGUCCUCAAUUUUCCUAAUUAACAAGUCAUGUUGAUCGUGAUAAUGUUUAAUUUUAUUAGCACACACUUGCAUGGAUAACUCUGGUCAAUCACUAAUAUGAAAAUUCUGGUCAAUCACCAAUUAUUUUUGUUUCUAAAAUUUUUAUUUUUAUUUUGUUUUUAAUUUGCAUUCAUUCAUUUUUUUGUUUUAGUUUUAUUUUAUUUCCAUUUCUUUAAAUCUAAGAAACGAAUUAAAGAAAAUGAUUUGUUAAAUGGAUUGGGACCCACCGAAUUUGGUGGCCCAAAGGGUCGAGAACCCAUUUUGGGGGUUUAAUAGGGUUUUUGUUCUUCAACUUCAUUCAUCAUCACCGAAAUCAUCUUUUUUUUUUCUCUCAAAAACCUAAGCGAAAACUCUCCUUUUACCCAUUGUUCAUCUGUUCAUCUUCGGCUCAAAUCAUCAAAUUUCUUUUGAUUUUAACUUGGUAUACAGCUUACGAGUAACAUGCUUCAGUUUUUAUGCCUUUUCUUGGGAGUUUUUGCAGGUGUUCAAAAGUUUCCGGCGAGUUUGAUGGUGUUUUCCAGCGAAGUUAUCAAGGGUUUCAAAAUUUGAAUCGUCGGGUUUUCGGUUUGACCCGAAUCCGACCGAAAUUGAUCAAAUACAACCGAAAACAGCUUGUUUUGAUCGGAAACAUCCCCCUUUGACCGAAAUCUCAAGUUUGACCAACCGAAAUCACUUGGUUUUGACCGAGAUCACUCAAGUUUGAUCGAAAUCAAUAUCUUUUGACUGAAAUCAACAUUUUGACCAAAAUUUGAAUUUUUGAGAAAAUAAAAUUUUAGCUUUAAAUUUUUUAUUGUUCUUACUUGGCUCGUUUGGUGCAGAUAAAUGGUGGAUCAGUUGAAGUUUGUUGAUUCUCACAAUAUUGCAGGAUAUUUCUUGGAUCCACCUGUCGCGCAUAAUGAAUUCAAAUCCAUGAUCGUGGGUUUGAACAAUUGCAGUUUUUCCCACGCUCUAUGUGUCAAUCCAGUCAUACACAAGGACCUAAAUAACGAUUUAUGGAGGAAUGCAUCAUUCAACUGUGCAGGAGCGGAUGGUGCUGGUGUUAUUGAAUCCUAUGUGAAAGGCAAGCAGAAUAUUAUAGUAGAGCAAGUCAUUCGGGAAGUGCUUCAGUUCGGAGAUCUGGCUGCUUUCCCAACAGAACUCCCUGCUUCCAAGAUCACAUAAUUUUUAAAUAAAAUGAAUUACGAAGGAAUUUUCCCUCCAACAGUUAAGAAGCUACUUCCCGCUUACUGGAGAUUUUUGGCCCAUACUGUUGUUAGCUGCAUCUCUGGAAGAAAGGGCAGGUCGGACGAGAUAAGCCAAACAACAACAUCAACCUUUGUGGCACUAACAAUGGACUGGGAGUAUAAUUUUUCAAUUUUUUUUACAAAAUGAAGAGCAACCUUUCUUGGAAAAAGAAGGAUCUUUUCUUAACGUAUUCUCAGUUUUUACAAAUGAUCUUUGAUGCCUUGCAUCCCGAGCUGGAAAGGACCCCCGAUACUCUUGAUGUCAAAUCCCUGGGUCCAAACACCUUUGGACUCAUGAAACUAGUACAGAAAGCGUCAAAGGUUGUUUUCAAGGGAACAGAAGCACUGGUGAAAUUUGGAAAAUUCGCGGAGACAGAAGAUGAUGUUAUGAUGAUGAUGAUGAUGAUGAUGUGGAUUUUCGUAUGUUUGUACCAUCAAAGGAGUCGGUCAAUGAGGUUGUGAUUUCUCCAGCUGAGAGAGAGAAAGAAAUCAACAUUUUCAAGCAACCAAACGAUCCAACACCCGAACAGAUGGAAGCCCUUAUCGAACAGUUACAGUCAACUGCAAGGAAUCCUCCCCAAGCAGUUCAUGUUUCUAUUGAGUCUACAUCUAGGAGUGAUAAAGACGAUUCAAAUGCUUCCUUGAUGCCAAGAAAGUUAAGACGUACAGAUCCAAGGCCGAGAGUGCUUAUUACUAAACCAGUACAUCAGCCAACUUCAAAUGUUGAACUAGCCGAGGCUAAUCAAGAUCAUCAAAGCCCAAUUGUUGAACCAGCCCAGAUGAUCAAGAUGAUCAAAGCCGAAUGUUUGAUGAAGAAUUCGACUUCUUAGUUAAUGAGGAAACUUUAGCCUCGGGAAGCUCUUCUGCCCCACCACCUCCAGAGCACGAUCCUGCAUCUGCCAAGCUAGCCAAGCUACUUGCAUUUCAAGAUUCUAUUCCUCAGUCAAGAGGAAAGGGAAUAACUAUUGGAUCAGGGCACAGAGGUGAUGUAGACUCUCAAUAAACCAUUUCUGAGCUCAAACAAGAGAUCGUAAUUUUGAAGCAGGAGUCCAUUGAAAAAGACUUUCUGAUUGGCCAUUUGGAUGUUAGAGUUUCUGAGCUUGAAAAAGGAAAAUUCUCAAAAGAGUAAUCAGAUCUCAGAUCUUCAAGUCAGAUCUUAGAUCUUCAAGCCAUUCUUGGCGGGCUGACAACUUUCUAUUUUGAUCUCAAAGAAAAAUUAAUUAGAAAAUUUGGUGAUGCGUUCAAGACUUCUGGUUCUGAUGAUGGAAAAGCUUCAUAGUCAUCUGAAAGAGUUGUGGUUCGUCCUGCCCCAGAUUCUAAUCUUGAUCAAUUUUUGUCUUCUGGCCCUGUCAUAGCUGAAGAAAGAAGGGAGAAGCAGAGAAAAGUUGAUAAGCUAAAGAAAGACAAAAUGCUUCUGAUGAGAAACUCUAUCAGAAUGCACCCGGUGAUCACCCAAAGAUGUUUAUCAAAGAAAUUGGAAAGCGAAAAUUUGCUGACAGAUAUGGUGAUCGUUCUGGAAUUCGUAUGUAGGGUUAUGAAGCUAAUAAGAAGAUGUGGAUUGUAAAGCGAAAGAGCAGAAACAUAAAGUAUUAUGCGAAGAAGAUUGAAUUUGUAUCGUGGACAAAAGUUGAUAUUGUAGAGCUGGUCCACGCACCGUUCCACAAUCCAACAAAUGAACCCAACGCAUGGCCGUUUAAAAGGUUCCUAGAAUACAAAGCGAAGCAGAACUUUGAAGGCUUGAAAACUGCAUCAUUGUUCGUUAAAAAGGUCAAGGGUGUUAUUGAUGCCCACACCAACAAGACUAUGGUGAAUGUUAUGUGGUCGCCUACAAAUAAAGCGAAAAAGAUCCCUAUCACUCAGCGGGUACCUGAUGGUUCUUUGAAUGAUUUACUAUUUUGGGUAUAUGAUGAGGCUACAACGACUGUCGUAAUCAAGAUGAAAAAGGUGUUGGAUAAGGUGUCUAAGUCCAUAACUAUAAUUGGUAUGUACUAGACCCAAUAGUAGCAUGGUGUUUGUGGGUUGCCUUCACCAGAGCAAUUUGAUAGGAUGGACUUACGUGUGACAACCCGAAAUUUCUAUCUUGUACAACCAUUCAAUUCAGUCAAACUCAGACGUGUUUCUGUUAACUUUUAGCACUGUUUAGAGUCUGUUUGAUCAUUCUAACCCUAUUACAUCAAAGGAUUAAGUGUUUCUAUGUGUCAACUGAAGUUCAAAACCAACAAACAAGCCAUAAACCCCUCAAUGAGGAGUUUACGGCCAGGACACAUGAGUUUACAGCCGUAAACUCAUGGUGGACGUAAACUCUAGGCUAUAAGUAUGAAGCUUGGACAUUUUUCUUCACUUUUACCUUUUCCAUGUCUAGAAACUCGAAAUCUCUCUCAAGUGUCAUAGGAUCUUGCUUCCAAUUCUUCAAAAAUGUAAGUGCUUUCUUCCAUCUAUGUGUUAAUACAUCUCUUAUUCUUGAAUAACCUUUGAAUUCAUCGAUGAAUUUCAUCUUUUGGGUCUAGAUCUUCAAGAUCCUCAAGAACAUCAAGAGCACAUUAGUUCUUCGGGUCGAAAUCUACUCUUCUAAGCUUCAACAUCGUAAGUAUCCUUUUAUAUACUUGCUAUCUCGUUAGGACUCUUGAUUCACACCUUGAAAACAAGCUUUUCACAAGAACAAACAGAGUUUAUGGCCAAGAGCAUCUCCUUAGGCCGUAAAUCCUUAAUAUGGGUGUAUUUGGACCUUAAACUCUUCCUAAGGCUUGGUCAUGAACCUAGAACCAUUCCUCAAUGCUUUAAAUCCCUUUUGAAACACCCAUAUGCACAAAUUAGCAUGAGUUUACAGCCGUAAACUGAUGGCCGUGACUCCCUUGGUCAUGCCAUCUUGGCCGUAAACACCAUAGUGUGGCCUUAAAUCCUUUAGAUGCAACCCUUUGUACUUCUAACACUUCAAAAUAAGUGUUUCCUAAGUCNAUUUUAAUUUGAAAAUUGAUUAGUGUUUUGCAUUUUUUUCAGACAAAUAUUAUCUUUGUGAUGCCGCGUAUGCACACACUCGAGGAUUUAUGGCCCCUUAUCGUAAUGUGAGGUAUUGGCUUGGAGAUUUUCGUCAAAGACGUGCAUUGACCAAUAAAGAAAAAUUUAACCAUGGACAUGCAAAACUUCGGAAUGUCAUUGAGCGUGCUUUUGGUGUUUUGAAAGCACGCUUCCCUAUAUUGAAGAGGAUGGCACCAUUCCCGUUUGUGACACAAAGAAACAUUGCCAUGGCAUGCUUCGCGCUUCAUAAUUAUAUAAGGAAAGAAGGAUUGAGUGAUGAGUAUUUCGCACGAUACGAUGAACCCAAUGUCCCGUUUCGAAAUAACAAUGUGGCCAUUGAUGAUGAUGAAGACGGGAUUCCAACACAUGGUACUGCAGCAGACCGUGAAUAUAUGACUCAGUUACGUGAUGAAAUUGCUGAUCAGUUGAUGCACAAUAUAGAUUGAAUUGUUUUAAAUGAAAUUGUUAUUGUAAAACAUUUUUUUUAUUGUAUGACUAAUUUAGUUGCAUGAAUUUUAUUUUCAAUGUUAUAAGACUAUUAUUAUUAAAAUUUUGGUGUUGAAAAAUCAUUUUAAGUUUGUAAAAUAAUUUUAUUUAAAAUUCAGUUUAUUUCAGCAGCCUGCAGACGUUAAAAAACAAACAGUCUUCUUAUUGCAGACUGCAGACGUUUGGUCCACCUCUUCUGCUGCAGAGGCUUGCAGAUGUGGUCCGCAGACUGCAGACAUUUUGGCUUCAGAAAAACAAACAGCACCUAAGAGAACAAACAAUACACUACAUUAUACAAGAGAACAUACUAUGAUGAGAAACAAAGAGAACAUACACUACACUAAUAUAGAGAAAACAUACAAUACACUAUAACAUACUAUACAAACACAAGAACACUAUAACAUUAAUGUGAGCUACUAAUUCAUGGCAUGGAAAUCAAUUGUUGUGUCACAUUUUGGAACCAGAGUCUUCUGGAGGGAGACCGUGAGUUGGUGUAUAGAUUUAUACGGGAUUGACUAUCUUACACCUUGCUGCUAGCUAUAGUGGGACCUGCAGGUCUACGGGUGACUAAUGUCAUACCAUUUCGAUGCCUUAGAGCGUCGGGUNUAAGUCUAUCAAGUAUGGUUACAAUCAUAUCACAUUUUACCUUAAUUAACAAACUGUUUAAGGUAGUUAGUACAUUGGUAGUUACUUACAUACAAUACUACUGUACACUGUUAUUUAACCAUUGCAUUCAUAUUUUCAACUUCUCACAUAAACAAUAAUGUAAACUAUAUUUUGGUAAUAAUAGUCACAUUUGGGAAAGAUACGCUUUUAAAAACAACACAACACACAUAACAUUUGGGCCUUGGUAGAAGGUUACUUUUAGUUGAAAAUAUAGGAUUUUCUAGGAGAUAUAAACAUUAACUACAAAUUCUUACAAACAUUUACAUCAAACAUUUACAAGCACUUUCAUACAAGCAAUGACACUAAAAUACUUAUGAACUCACCAGCUUUAAUGCUGAUAUGCGCUUUCAAAAUAACUUGUAUUCUCAGGUCAUCAGUAGACAGGUACCGAUGCCAGAUUUUGAGAAGAUAGAGUACGUUCAAGACUCAUCUCUUAUUUUGAUUUAUAUUUUUGGUGUCUUAUAAACUAUACACAACACAGUUGUAUCAAAAUUAUAUUAUUGAUGCAAUGGAUGAUGUUGUUGCUUGUUUACUAUUAUACAUGGUUGUGAUAUUGUACAUGACGUCCUCCACCCCCGAACGUUUCCGCCGUUCAGGUUUUGGGGUGUGACAGAUUGGUAUUAGAGCAUUGUUUAUAAUGAAUCGAGUAUAUCAACCCAUAAAAGAUAUACAAACUAUAAACACAACGGGAUUAAAAUACUCUGACCAAGAGUUUAUACUUUUAAAUAAUAAAAUAUUUAACUAAGUAUACAUACAUGCGUUCAUACUAAAAUCCGUGUCACUAAGACAGAACAAAAGUAUUACGAUUGUUAAACAACUCAAUCAGGCUUGGGAACAUAUAAUCAGAUCUGGGAGUGAUAUAACCUGAUCAACUAUAUCUUUCCAAGGAGUGAUUAGCAUGUUCCUAGGAAUGGUUGUGAUGUUGCAGCAAGUCUAAAAACUUACCAACACUACUACAAUGAAAACAUUAGAACAGAACAUAAGCUUAAAAUACUAUAGGAGUAUUUUUUUGUUACUAUAAUUACUUAUUUGAGAACUAAAGGCCUUUAUUAGUAAGUCAAUAGCUGCUUGGUGGAUACGCUAAGGUUAUAUGUGACUAGAGCGUCAUAGACUUAGAAUCUGUAAUCUUUGCUCUAUUUCCGGUUCCUUGUUUGGUUGUGGAUUUGGAGUUAGGGUCACUUAUUAUAAGGUCUAUCCUAUUUUGAUUACAUGUAAUUGGUAUGCACUAUGCAAAUAUUGAAGUAACUGAUAAAGAUCAUCUUAUAAUUAUCCUAAUUAGUAGGUUUAUUAACUAUCUCUUUUAUCCCUAUUCUCACAUAGAUAACAUGGCUGGAUUCCAUCCCCACGUCGACCCGUACUUUCCCAACCAAGAUAACGGAGGAUGGCUCGAUGUAGAGCCAGAAGAAAAUCAUCCAAUCCCUUUGGAUGAUGACUUUGCAGAGAACUUCUCGAAGGAUUCUGACUCUGAACCCGAAGUUAAUAACCAACCCCCAGUGGCUCAAAUCCCAAACCCCAACCCUCAUCCAGCAUUUCAAGGUCCCACACCCCUGUGGGCAACAAACUUGAAUAGAUGGAGCCACGAACAAGGUCAACCCUUACCUUACAAUGGAGACCGAAGCUUCUAUAACUUGAGAGAGGGAGACUCAGCGGAUAGAGUCUUGCCUAUUCUGGUUUGUAGGAUUACUCGUAAUGAUGAACAGGGUAGAGUGGCCAUCAACCGAAUCAUGGAAAUUGAUGCCGAUGCGGGAGUCAAUACCAUUCUUAUUUGCCAUAUGGAGUCUGGUUAUGAAAGGACUCAGAACCAGAAUGCAACCCUGCAGAGAGAUCUUACUGCAACCCAAGCUGAAGUCAGGGAACUUCGAGCUCGGCAGGCGACAUAUGAAAGACGCAUGAGGAAUAUGGAGCGUCGUCUAGCAGAAUCAAGGACUCAUUCUAGUGGUUCUUGUCGUAGAUAGAGCCUACUCAACUUCUCUUUUGGAUAUAACUUAGGUAUAUGUAAAAACUCUAGUUUUAGUUUCCUAUCUAUGAUAAGACUUUAAACUUGUUAAGUCUUAAUUCUGUCAAAAUUUUCCUAUCUUGGUUUGAUGUAAGACCUACUUCUAGGUCAUUUUUCCCAAACUUGUUACAUUUGUAAUACCAGUAUUAUUGACAUAUAUCUAAUCUCAUGGAAAUUUAAUAUCUAAAUGCUUUCAUCUUUCUAGUGUUAGAUCUACAUUCAAUCACACUCUCAUUUAUUUUGUUGGACUAUGGAGAGUUAGUUCAUGUGUCACUCUCAUCAUUUUCUCUAUCAAACUCUUAACCAUAUCUUUAUCCUUGUAAUCUUAUAGCCGCAAGAUGCCUCUGCGUUCAUCAGCAAGACGCACUACUCCAAUAACUCCGAUCAAACUCCAACUCCUCCUCCUCCUCAAUACAACCCAACAGCUAUCCAAGUUGUUGUGAAUGCGGCUGUUACGAAAGCUCUAGCACAAUUCACCACUAACGGUACUAGUGGGAGUGGGACUUAUGUGCCUCCCACUGUUGUCGAAGCUCCAGUGUGCUCUAGAGAGUGCUCAUAGAAGGACUUCACCAGCUGCAAACCCAGGGCCUUCAAUGGAACUGGCGGAAUCAUUGCCCUCUCGCAAUGGUUCGAGAAGACGGAGUCAAUAUUUGAGAUCUACUCCUGUCCGGAAGGGAGCAAAGUCAAAUUUGCCGCCUGCACCUUCGCGGACCGAGCACUGACAUGGUGGAAUAGCCAUGUCAAGUCACUAUCUCUUAUAGUGGCAAAUGCUAUCGGAUGGGAAGCUCUAAAGGAGCUCAUGAUCGAAGAAUACUGCCCAAGGGGCGAAGUUCAAAAACUAGAGCAGGAACUCUGGAGCCUAACCAUAAAGGGCUCCAACAUACUUUCCUACACUGCUAGAUUCAGUGAUCUGGUACCACUAUGUCCGGGAAUGGUCCCUUCUAAAGCAAAGAAGGUGGAGAGGUAUAUCCGGGGGCUGGUGCCUCCAUUCCAGGGGAAUUUACUAGCUUCAAACCCCACUACCUUUGAUAGUGCCAAGCGAUUGGCACAACGGCUCAUUGACCAUGGGGUCUGUACCCCGUCAACAACAACAAACCUAGCCAUCUCAGAACCCUCCAAAGCCACUGAUAACAAGCGGAAAUUUUGGUAUGUAAAGAAGAAGAACGCUGCGCAGAAAGCUGCCAACAAGCAGCAGGUCACAGCGGUUCAUGCUGCAAUAGCACCUGCUACUGCUGUCCCGGUAAAGCAGUACGCGGGGAGUUUCCGAAGUGCAACAAAUGCAGCUUCCACCACAACGGACCCUGUCGAGAAAUGCAGUGCUCUAACUGCAACAGGAAGGGGCACACUGCCCGUUUCUGCAAAUCUCUGGCAAGGCCAAUCAACCAAGUCCCCGACGAUGGUGUGGGCCAGGCUCUCUACGGUUGUGGAGAGGUGGGCCACUACAAAAGGAACUGCCAUAAGGCAGGGAAUGCCGGUGAAGUGGGAAUAGUUUUGGGUAUAGACCAUGAGGAAGCUGUUGCCGACGCCAUGAUGGUCACUGGUACGUUUCUCCUCAAUAACUCUUAUGCAUGCAGACUGUUUGAUAGUGGAGCGGAGAGGAGUUUCGUGAACCAAAAAUUUUCUCAUUUACUUAAGCAAAAAUCACGAAUACUUAAAGAACCGUUCACUGUAGAAAUGGCUAACGGAAAGACUGAGAGCACUAGCAUUAUAUACAUAGGAUGUACUCUACUCUAGAUANGACUGAGAGCACUAGCAUUAUAUACAUAGGAUGUACUCUAACUCUAGAUAGACAUUCAUUUUCAAUCGACCUCAUACCGGUCUCAAUUAAAAGUUUCGGCGUCAUUAUCAGCAUGGAUUGGUUGAGUCUGCAACAUGCCGACAUCAUGUGUUAUGAAAAGGUUGUUUGCCUUAAUCUGCCAUCUGGAGAAACUCUAGUAGUCUAUGGCGACAAACCUGACACGAACCUUCAUAUCAUCUCGAGUAUUCAAGCCCAGAAGUACUUGCGAAAGAAAUGUCGUGCAUUCAUUGCUCAUGUUGUCGAUGUGAGCCAAGAGAUAAAAGACAUAAAGAACAUCUAAGUGUUAUGCAAUUUUCCCAACAUCUUUCCAGAAGAACUCCCAGGAUUAUCUCCGCAACGUCAAUUCGAGUUCAGAAUCGACUUAGUUCCAGGGGCUACCCUAGUAGCCAAAUCGCCCUAUCAUCUAUCACCAGCAGAGAUGCAGGAACUAUCCGGUCAACUUAACGAGCUGCUCAACAAGGGCUUCAUUAGACCAAGCUUCUCACCCUGGGGAGCUCCGGUCUUGUUCGUAAAGAAGAAAGACGGAUCGUUUCGUAUGUGCAUCGACUACAGAGAACUAAACAAGCUUACCGUUAAGAAUCGUUACCCUCUGCCUCUCAUAGACGAUUUGUUCGACCAACUUCAAGGGGCGAACUACUUUUCAAAGAUAGACCUGAGAUCCGGGUAUCACCAAUUACGAGUGCUAGAGGAGGAUGUUCCGAAGACAGCCUUCCAAACUCGUUAUGGACACUACGAGUUUGUAGUGAUGUCAUUCAGAUCGACUAAUGCGCCCGCUAGGGGUGUUCAAAAAUAUCCGUAUCCGAAAGUUCCGAUCCGAAAUUCUGAAAUUCCGAAUCCAAAUUAUCCGAAAAAUCGGAUAUCCGAUUUUUCGGAAUCGAAAUUGGAUAAUGCUUUUCAGAUUUUUCGGAUAAUUCGGAUAUCCGAUAUCCGAAAGUUUUGAUUUUAUUUUAUACAUUAUUUGUUAUUUUAGUCACAUAUGUCUAAUGAUAUGAACGUUAGUAACUAAAACAUGUUAAUAAUACCCUUAAUUAAAUACCAAUACUACUUCAUAUGCCUUUCUAAUUUAAAAAUAUGUAUUUUUAAUUUAAAAAGUUCAUAUCACUACAAAUAAAAUUACAUUUAGUGGCACAAAUUUUUAGUGGCAAAAUUUUUUUGUGCCACAAUAGUUAUGUUUUAAGUGGCACAUAGUUAUUUCUGCCACUAUAAUACCCUUGAAUUGAAAUUUUUAGUUUUGAUGAUCCCGCUCCAAGUUCCCUCCAAGUCUAGAUAUGACGCUUCUCACCCCAAAACUAAUAUCAUGUGAGAGGCAACCCUAAUUCUCUGUCUCCAAACUCCAAUCUUCUCUGCAACCCUAAUUUCUCCCUAACCGGCAGCCUAAUCACCACAUACUGUCUUCUCCACCAAACGCAGUCGAUACCGCCAUCCUCACCAUCUGUUCCAGUCAAUCAUCGAUUUUCCCUGUAGAACCCCGUAUCCUUCAUCCUACAACUUCACAACAUCGAUUCAGUGUUCCCUCAUCCUCCAUAACUCCGAAUCAAAAGUUAUGAGCAUUUAUUUGUGAAGGAAGAAAAUCAACCCACUCAGAUUAAGGUACUUCGAUUUUGAUUCAAUUUCCCCACGAUUCCCCUGUUAGUUCGAAUCAAAAGUUUUGUUUUGGCAGUAUAAUGUUGUUUAUUUUUAUCGAUUUCUAUAAACUCUCCUCUCCUGUCUAUCGAUUUCUAUUAACAAUACAACUUUGCUCUUCCGAUUUUUAUAACUCUGAGAAUAUUUUUCAUCUAUGCAAUACAACUUUCCUCUUCCAAUUUUUAUAACUCUGAGAAUAUUUUUCAUCUAUGCAAUACAACUUUCCUCUUCCAAUUUUUAUAACUCUGAGAAUAUUUUUCAUCUAUGCAAUCUAGGACUCAUUAGAGUUGUGGAAGUAUUCUCCUAUUUGGUUCUUAUUUUGUAUAACCAUGCCCCUCUUGCUAUGAAAUUGCCUGGUUUUUCGGUUUUGGCUCUGGAAUUUUAUCAAGUUGCGAUGUAAUCGUUACCACAUUUUGGUUGCUUUGGUUCUUAAAGAGUUUUUUUCAAUCUGGACGAUUCUACCCUUGAUGGUCUAUCCCCUACACAUAGAGGUGUAUUUAGAGAAACCUUCUAUCAUUUUGAGGUGGAUGUCAGUAGACAUCACAAAGAAUUAUAUUUGAGUCGAUUUGCUGAUUGUGAAGCAUCUGCUUAAAGAACAUGCAUCAAUUUGUGCUUCUUCUUCAUCUGUGUAUUGUAUAUGCUGAUUACCUCGUAGUUUUUCUUCUUCAUUUUGUGAUUAUUCUUAUCUAAUCAAUAAUUUAAGACUAAUUUCACAUGAUAUAUAUCUUCAACUAUCAGUCAGCCUAUGAGGUGAGCUAAUGGAAAUGUGGUGAGUACCAUUAUUUGUUCUAAUGCAGUCAAAACUCAAAAUAAGAUCAAAGAGAGGUACUUUUUCUUUUCUUGUUGUAAAAUCCUAUUUUUGUUUUAGGUAUGUGAGUAUGUCAAUAUAUCAUUCACUUUUGAGCAACAUAUAAAUUAAGCUCCGAAAAAAUAAUAAAAGUUAUAUCAUUUUCUAUAAGGCUAGAUGGCAUUGAUAUUGUUCAUCUCCUUAACAAGCUCGUUAAUAGAGACAAUUGACAAUCAAUUUGACCAUAUUUACUGAUUUACAAAACACUGUUACUUAGGUGCCUAUAAUAUGUGACAAUAAGUAGUGUUAAACUUGAACCAUGCCAUUUUAAGUGCUCAUAGUAGGUUUGCUACAACUUUAAAAAAUAUUUUUGGACAAUUUAGUAAUUAAGUUCUAUGAAAAUUAAGUAAAUUAUUGCAAAAUCUUGUUCUUACCGCCCCAACAAACAAUGUUAUUAUCAGUUAGUUUUCAGUUUUGAAAUAUGAAGUGAACUUUUUGUUUCAUUUUGUUUUCAUUCAAUGUGCAGGUUAUACUAACAUUACUAAAUGCUCGAAUGUCAACAAAAUCCCGUAACAACAGGUCAAUUAAGAGUGUUUGAGCAGCACCAUGUCCUUUUUACCACUACUCAUCAUUUUGGUUCUCCCAUUUCUUUUAUUUCUUUUUCAUUCCCCACUUUUUAUCUUUCAUUUGAUUUAGAUUCGGCAUCAUAUAAUUACUAAGGAGAGCAAGUUAAUACUCCAGCUCCAUCAUUCUUUUUCUAUCUGUGUCUCUAUUGGUAGAUAUCAUCCGUGAAUCCAGAAAGUGCUUGACCUGGGUCGUAAUAGAGGGAUGUUGAAGACAAUUAUUCAAAUGAUGACUACUUUAAAGUUAAGGAUGCAGAGAAACAUGGGUACAUUCUAUUUGUAUGAAGGGUGAACAUUGUAAAAGACAAUGGUCCAAGUAUUUAGUCUGAUAGUUUUUUAUUUUGUGUAAUUACUAGCACAAUGUUUAGACUUAUUAAGCAUUUUGGAAGCUAUUUUUGUUUUAAAUAUUGAGGAUAUUAUUGUAAUACAAGUUAGAUUUAAUUAAGUAAUGUUUUAUGUUGUUCAUGUAUUAUCUUAAUUAUUUUUUUAUUAUUUAAUGUUUCAUUUCAAUUUUAAAAAACAAAUUGGACCUAAUUUGUACUAUAAAUGUUUUGUAGUAAAAAAAGUGAUCUCAAAAAAAUAAAAAAUGUUUUUUUAAUUAUAGCAAUUAUAUAGCAACAUAAAAAAUGUCAAAGAAACCAAAAAGUGCUAUAGUGGCAUAAAAAAAGUGCCACUAAAACCCAAAAGGGCUGCAACGACACAAUCAAAAAGUGUCACUAAAAGUCUUUAGUGGCAGCUCUUUUAGUGACACUUUUUUUUUGUGCUGCUGAUUGCCGAGGGGGUCUUUAGUGGCACUUUUUUUUGUGCCACUAAAUGUUGUUUUAUUUGUAGUGUAUGUUUUUCAACUUUUAACAAAAUUUCGGAUACGGAAUCGGAUAUCGAAAAUCAACUAUCCAAAAUUUCGGAUAUCCGAACUUUCGGAUAUCAGGUUAUGAACACCCUUAGAGCCUGCAGUAUUCAUGGAUUUAAUGAAUAGGGUAUGUCGUCCUUACUUAGAUCAGUUCGUCAUUGUGUUUAUUGAUGACUUACUUAUCCACUCUCGUAGAAAGGAAGAGCAUAGUAAGCAUCUACGUCAGAUCUUGGAAACAUUACGAAUAGAGAAGCUCUACGCGAAGUUCUCUAAAUGCGAGUUUUGGAUUCAAAGAAUCGAAUUCCUGGGUCACGUUGUUAGUGAAGAGGGAAUUCAUGUGGACCCUUCCGAAAUCAAAGCCAUUGAGAACUGGUCAGCACCGAAGACGCCUACAGAAAUUUGCCAAUUUUUUAGGCCUCGCUAGCUACUACGGUAGGUUCAUUUAGAACUUCUCUAGAAUCGAGAAACCUCUUACUACAUUGACCCAGAAGGGCCUGGCCUUUGAUUGGGAAGAGAAACAAGAGAAAGCGUUCCAAACGCUCAAGCGAGCCUUAUGCACCGCAUCGAUACUAUCCCUCCCCGAAGGAAUAGAAGACUUCGUAGUCUAUUGCGAUGCAUCCAAUUAAGGGCUCGGUUGUGUUCUAAUGCAACGAGGUAAGGUCAUCACCUAUGCCUCAAGACAGCUGAAGACACACGAGGUCAACUACACUACACAUGAUCUUGAGUUAGGAGCGGUUGUGUUUGCUCUGAAGAUCUGGAGACGCUACCUAUAUGGUACGAAAAGCACUAUCUUUACAGACCACGAAAAGCCUCAACACAUAUUCGACCAGAAGGAACUCAACAUGAGACAACGACGAUGGGUCGAACUACUCAGUAACUAUGAAUGAGAAAUUCGUUAUCAUCCCGGCAAGGCCAACGUAGUAGCUGGCGCCCUGAGUCGGAAAGAAUACUUUGGUCGUAGAGUUAAAUAAUUGACUAUGACUAUCCAUUCACAUUUGUCCACACAAAUUAAGGAGGCUCAACUUGAAGCCUUGAAACCUGAAAAUGUGGCAAGUGAAUCACUAAGAGGGAUGGAUAAGAACUUGGAAGUCAAGGGUGGCAGAGCCUUAUAUUUCAUGGAUUGGAUCUGGACACCGAAACAAGGUGGUUUCAGAGACUUGGUCAUGACCGAAGCGCACAACACUCGAUAUUCCGUCCACCCAGGUUCAGAUAAGAUAUAUAUGGAUCUUAAAAAGUUAUACUGGUGGCCUAACAUGAAAGUAGAGAUUGCUACCUUCGUGAGUAAAUGCCUUACUUGCGCCAAGGUUAAGGUCGAAUACCAGAAACCCUCAAGUUUACUUCAACAACCGGAGAUACCUGAAUGGAAGUGGGAGCGGAUCACGAUGGACUUCAUAACCAAGUUGCCCAAGACUACGGGUGGUCUCAAUACCAUUUGGGUGAUCGUAGACAGGUUAACCAAGUCCGCACACUUCCUGCCCAUCAAAGAAACUGACAAUAUGGAGAAGCUAACUACAACCUACAUCAGGGAGAUCGUAUGACUGCAUGGUGUUCCCAUAUCCAUUAUCUCAGAGAGAUAGUANNNNNNNNNNNNNNNNNNNNNNNNNNNNNNNNNNNNNNNNNNNNNNNNNNNNNNNNNNNNNNNNNNNNCUACCAUCCACAAACCGACGGUCAUUCAAACUUUGGAAGAUAUGUUGCGAGCCUGCGUGAUAGACUUUGUGAAGGCAUGGGAUACUCAUUUACCCAUUAUUGAGUUUUCCUACAACAAUAAUUAUCACACGAGCAUAAAGGCUGCUCCAUUUGAAGCCCUCUAUGGCCGUAAGUGUAAAUCCACUCUGUGUUGGGCUGAGGUGGGCAACACGCAGUUAGCUAAAGGACGAGUUCCUGACAGCACUCUCACAGGUCCAAAAAUCAUUUGGGAAACGACAGAGAAGAUUGUUCAAAUCCGUGAACGAUUAAAAGCCUCUAGAGACCGAUAGAAAAGCUACGCAGACAAGAGAAGAAAACCUUUCGAAUUCUGGGUUGGCGACCGUGUUCUACUGAAGGUCUCACCCUAGAAGGGCUUGAUACGCUUCGAAAAGCAUGGAAAGCUAAAUCCAAGAUACAUAGGGUCUUUUGAGAUUCUCGCUAGAAUCGGCCAUGUAGCUUACAAACUCAAUCUACCUCACGAACUCAGUAACGUACAUCCUACUUUCAACGUCUCAAACUUGAAAAGGUGUCUGUCUGACGAGACUCUUCUAAUCCAACUCGACGAGAUCAAGAUCAACGAGAUCCUCAACUUUGUGGAGGAACCACUAGAGAUCAUGGACCGAGAGGUCAAGCAAACAAAGCAAAGUCGGAUCCCAAUAGUGAGGUUCGCUGGAAUGUCAAGCGAGGACCUGAAUUCACUUGGGAGCGCGAGGAUCAAAUGAAAUUGAAAUAUCCUCACAUUUUCGAUUAGUUAUUUGUAACUACUUAUUGGCUUAAACUCUAAUUUUAGGACGAAAUUCUCUCUAACGGGGGGAUGAUGUGACUACCCAAAAUUUCUAUCUUGUACAACCAUUCAAUUCAGUCAAAGUUAGACUUGUUUCUGCUAACUUUUAGCACUGUUUAGAGUCUAUUUGAGUAUUUUAAGCCUAGUACAUCACAGGAUUAAGUGUUUGUAUGUGUCAACUGAAGUUCAAACCCAACAAACAAGCCAUAAACCCCUCAAUGAGGAGUUUACGGACAGGACACAUGAAUUUACGGCCGUAAACUCAUGGUGGACGUAAACUCUAGGCUAUAAUUAAGAAGUUUGGCCAUUUUUCUUCACUUUUACCAUUUCCAAGUCUAGAAACUCGAAAUCUCUCUCAAGUGUCAUAGGAUCUUGCUUCCAAUUCUUCAAAAAUGUAAGUGAUUUCCUCCAUCUAUGUGUUAAUACAUCUCUUAUUCUUAAAUCACCUUUUAAUUCAUCCAUGAAUUUCAUCUUUUGGGUCUAGAUCUUCAAGAUCCUCAAGAACAUCAAGAACAAAUUAGUGCUUUGGGGCCGAAAUCUACUCUUCUAAGCUUCAACAUCAUAAGUAUCCUCUUAUAUACUUUCUAUCUAGUUAGGACUCUUGAUUUACACCUUGAAAACAAGCUUUUCCAAAGAACAACAAGAGUUUAUGGCCAAGAGCAUCUCCCUUGGCCGUAAACCCUUAUUAUGGGUUCAUUUGGACCUUAGACUCUUCCUAAGGCUUGGUCAUGAACCUAUAACCAUUCCUCAAUGCUUUAUAGCCCUAUAAAAUACCCAUAUGCAAAAAGUAGCAUGAGUUUACGGCCGUAAACUGAUGGCCGUGACUCCCUUGGUCAUGCCAUCUUGGCCGUAAACACCAUAGUGUGGCCUUAAACCGCUUAGAUGCAACCCAUUGUACUUCUAACACUUCAAAAUAAGUGUUUCCUAAGUCCUAGGGUGUCUUUCCUUACAUGAUUAGUUGUUUACAUACUAAUUGUAUGCAUAUAUGUGUCAUUAUAUGCUAAAUAGGAUCCGUGUGUGUGCUCAAGUCUUCACUUGACACUUAGUAUGCUAUACCACUCGUUCAUCCAAACCACUUACUACAGGUGAGUUCAUACCCUUUAACUUACCUUUUAAAUGAUUUUAUUAGGGGGAGGAUACAAGUUGAAACAUUAUAUUUAUUAUAUCAAUCACAUGUGAUUAAUAACUAUCAAACAGAUGGAUUUACUAUACUGUUAACUGUUUUAUCAAACAAACUACCUCAAAUCGCUUUACAAACUUGUUACAUGCAAAACUCCUUAUUAAGCUCUUUUAAACUAAUAUAUUUUCAAAAUCAUGUCUGUAUAGAUAUAGUUAUAUAAGUAGGAUUGAAAGGACUUAGGACUGAUAACUCGCCUUACUUCCUGUUCCUUGUUUGGUUGUGGACUUAGGGUAUUCGGUUGUUUGUCCGACGGUCGUUUGAAUAUUAGUUAUAUAUUAUGUGUAUGUAUAUGGAUAUUAAAGUUCUACAUUCAGUUUAAUACCUUUAGGAAGCAAAGGUGUACAAACAUGUUCAUUUAUACAAACAACUCUACUAGUAAACUAUAAUAAGUAUAGUUUAGGAAGUCACUACACACUAUUUCUAGUACAAUGAAACAUACAAGAAUCAGUUCAUUCAUGAGUCAAUACAAACUAACUAUUAUGAGAAACAGAACAAACAUACUAUGAUGAGAAACUAAGAGAACAUACAAUACACUACAUUAUACAAGAGAACAUACUAUGAUGAAAAGCAAAGAGAACAUACACUACACUAGUACAAAGAGAACAUACACUACACUAGUACAGAGAAAACGUAUAAUCCACUAGAACAUACUAUACAAACACUAGAACAGUAUAACAUUAAUGUGAGCCACUACUUCAUGGCAUGGCAAUUAAUUGUUGUGUCACGUUUUGCAACCAGAGUCUCAUGGAGGGAGAGCGUGAGUUGGUGUAUAGAUCUAUACGGGAUUGACUUUCCUACACCUUGCUGCAAGCUACAGUGGGACCUGCAGGUCUACAUGUGAGUAAUUUCAUACCAUUUCGAUGCCUUAGAGAGUCGUGUUAUACUAAGUCUAUCAAGUAUGGUUACAAUCAUAUCACAUUUUACCUUAAUUAACAAACUGGUUUAAGGUAGUUAGUACACUGGUAGUUACUUACAUACAAUACUACUGUACACUGUUAUUUUCCCAUAACAUUCAUAUUGUGAUCUUCUCACAUAAAUGGUAAUGUAAACUAUAUUUUGGUAAUAAUAGUCAUAUUUGGGAAAGAUAAGCUUUUACAAACAACACAACACACAGAACAAUUGGGCCUUGGUAAACGGUUACUUUUAGUUGAAAAUAUAGGAUUUUCUAGGAGAUACAAACAUUUACUACAAACUCUUACAAAAAUUUACAUCAAACAUUUACAAACACUUUCAUACAAGCAAUGACACUAAAAUACUUAUGAACUCACCAGCUUUAAUAUUAAUCUUCGCUUUCAAAAUAACUUGUAUUCUCAGGUCAUCAGUAGAUAGGUACCGAUGCCAGGUUUUGAGAAGAUGGAGUAGGUUCAAGACUCAUCUCUUAUUUUGAUUUAUAUUUUUGGUGUCUUAUAAACUAUACAAAACACACUUGUAUGAAAAUUGUAUUAUUAAUGCAAUGGAUGAUGUUGUUGCUUGUUUACUAUUAUACAUGGUUGUGAUACUGUACAUGACGUCCUCCGCCCCUAAAGGUUUCCGUCGUUCAGGUUUUGGGGUGUGACAUUACGAGAAUAAGGUUAUUUAUGAUUUGUUAAUAUAUUACAAGUAUAAUAUAUUAAUCUGAAUUCAUAUUAUUUAAUUAGUAUUAAUCAAGAAUUAAUUAGGAAUUAAUUUAGUGAUCAAAAGAGACUAAUUAAAUAUUCGGGGACUGAUUAAGUAAAUCAAUGAUUCUUAUAGUGUGGGCCAAUGAUUCGUGGUUAUUUAGGAUGGGCUAAACCAAUGUGAUAGUCCAUAGAGGUUUAACCCAUGAAGCCUAUGUAAUAUGAAAGGUCAUGGUGCAUUAGGGUUUGCAAAGAUGUAACCCUAGCAUUUAUCACACUAUAAAAGGAGUUCCCUAGAACUAAAAUCAGUUACACCUAUCAUUCUAAGAGUUUAAUAUUGAUUGUGUGCUAACUAGCUUAUUCUCUCAAGCUUCCUCUUGCAUUUGGUGUUUGUGACAUAGUAGAGACAUCACACUUGAGGUGCUAAAGCUUUCAAAGGUCAAGAACUACAAACUACAUCAAUAGGUAUUCAUCAAAACCAUUUAUAUUGUAUAUCAUCACUUGUAUGCUAGUUAGGAUGUAUGCUUUGGAAAAAUGAAAAUGCAUGUAUAAUUAGAGAAAACAUAGAUCCAAAGCAUCUAGGGUUGCAUGUGCACCAUAAGGUGCUUAUAGUGCUCAAAACUCUUCAGUGGUAUCAGAGCCUAGGAUUAUUUUCUAUUAUAUUUGAUGCUUGGUAAUAUUUUCAAAGUUGAAAAACUGUUUUGACAACACCUACUCGGCGAGUACAUGAUUGGAAUUGACGAGUAGGUUGGUUUUGGCCUUGAACUCGAUGAGUCCAUUGUUGGGCUCGACGAGUUGCACUUUCAGACAACAGUUUUUCGGGGUUUUUUGCCAGAAUUGGAUUACGAUCACUACCACAAACUGUUUUGAAUCAUAAUAUAUGUUAUUUUUGAUAUGGUAGUGAUCAUGCUCAUCCAGUUAAAAGAUAAUUGUCAAAAUUUCAAGACUUGUGUUAGUUUAUAUGAUAGGCUAAUUUCUUGUAAAUUUGUUGAUGUGAAUUAUCUUGACCUUAUGAGUUUAACUAGAUCAUAGAUAAAUUACUUGGUAAUUUUUUGUUAGUUAAAGUGUUGAUCUAAAUGCCUUUAAUGAAUUCCAUAACUUGUCCUCAAGUUAUGGAAAAUGAAAAGUGUCAUCUUUAAAAAAUGCAUUAAACACAUAAGUUAUGGAAAUGAAAAGUUUUGACAAGUUUCAAAACUUGCCCUCAAGUUUUGGAAUUUUUAAAGUCACACUUAUGAUUACUUUAAUUCUAAACCUUAGAAUUUUAAAAGUUUAAAAUUUAACCCUUAUACUAUUAUAUUAUAAUAAGUUUAAUAAUUAUAUAUAUGUAUAAGAAAAGUCAGUCUUACUGUUAGUAGGCCUCAUUUACGAAACCGGUCUAUAAGGGGGGGUAUAAGGUUACUACCUGUAAAAUGGUGGUUUAAUGUGUGUCCACUCUCACCCACCACUUCCUUGAUUGUUGGAGGGUCAUUAGCCAAACAGGUACGAUAGGACAAUAAUUAUCAUUAAAGUAUAAUGAUAAUUAUAAAGUAACUGAAUGUUUUAUUAAAUUCCGAAUCUUAGUUACUUUAGGAAAAUGUGAAAUUGAUGCUAAUACAUGAAAUUGCACUUUGCACCUUGCCAAGUUGUUAGUCGAGUGUGUGUGGCUAACCAACACACUAACAUAGACUAGUAAGGGUGGCAAAGGGUGGCUUGAUGUUUUUCAUAGAUCAAUGGAGCGUGUAUGGUUAACCGACACAUUGAUUAGGUGAUAUAUGAUAUCAAGAGUACCAAGCACAUUUGCAUGGUUAUUCACACCUUGUUUGUGAUCCUUGGUAUCCCAGUCACAAACUUGAAGGGCAUAAUCGAGAUUUAAACAUGCCAUUGAAAAGUUCAGUGAAUCUCAAAAGAAUCGAGGAAUUUCAAUCCAAUUAAAACUUAAUAAUUAAUUUCGUUUUUCAUGGUGGAAAUUGGUAAAUCGUUAUUUACCUACCUUCAAAUAUUUUGCAAUUGUAUUACAACAUCCCUCUUCCGAAUUGUAAAAUAUUGUGUUGGGUCCAAGCCUUAAUAUUUCAUUUGGGUUUUAUAUUAAGGACUAUUAUCUAAUCUAAACUUUGUCUUUCUUUUUAGAUGUCUUCUAACAGCGCUUCUGGCUCAAACCCUACUGGCUCUUUCUCCCUGGUGAACUUGUGUGGGAGAGUUAUCUUUGAUGGUUCCAACUUUAAUGAUUGGAUUAGGAACAUCAGGAUGGUUACUCUUUACGAGGACAAGGAAUAUGUCAUCGACAAAGAGCUUAAGGAAAUUGAUAAGUCUUCUGCUACUCCUGAGGAGAUUGCUGAGUAUAGGACUCAUGAGAAGGAUGCCACUAUGGUGCCUUGUAUCAUGUUGGCCACUAUGUCAGCUGAACUAUAAAAGUCCUAUGAGGACUUCUACCCUUUUGAGAUGCACCAAGACCUGAUGGAAAGAUACCAUCAGAGUGCUCGACAAGAAAGGUAUGAAAUCAUCACCUCCACGAUAACAACAAAGAUGAAGGAUGGAGAGUCUAUCACGACCCAGUUGUAGAAAAUGCAAUGGUUUAUGGACCGCUUGCUGAAGUUAAAUGUCAACUUCAAUGAAGAGUUGGCCAUAGAUAUCAUUCUACACUCUUUACCUCCUUGUUAUGAUCAGUUUCGUAUGACUUAUCAUAUGAACAAGGAGGAAGUCACUCUUAGCAAGCUUCAAGGCCUUUUGAGAGCUACUUCAAGUAGCCUCAAAGGCAAGCCUGUUGUAUUUACUUAUACUCCUACUGCUACUGCCCUUAUUUUGUAAAUUAGACAAGGGAAAGGGAAGAAGGGGAAGGAUCCUUCUAAGAGCUUCAAGGGAAGGUCUCAUGAUGAAUCCUCUUCAAAUGGAACCAAAGCUGGUUCUGCUAAUUCCUCUACCAAUUCAAAAGAAGCAGAGUGUUUCUAUUGUCAUGAAAAGGGGCACUAGAAGAGAAGCUGCCCCAAAUACUUGCGGGAUGUUUAGGAUGGGAAGGUUAAGCCCACCCAUGCAGGAAUUUUCACUAUUCUAUCUAAUAACUCGUCACAUUCUUGUUCUUGGGUCCUUGAUACAGGUUUUGGAUUUCACAUCUGUUCUGAUUUGCAGGGACUAAAAAGAAGUAGGGAUGUGGAGCACGGGAAGAUGAACUUGAUCAUGGGGAAUAUGUGACAUCCCAAAUUUCACGGCCAGAAAAGACCGAUUUGUUUAUGCUUUGGCUUUAAAAUCAGAGUAAUCUUUUAAAGAAAACAGUUGCGGAAUUUGUUCCAAAACAAAAUAUGAUAAAAAUUAUCAAAGCAUUUCUUCAAAGAAAUGUAUUUUCAUUAUAUAACAAAAUCUCGGGAUGUCAUGUUCAAUACAGACCAAAAGCAUAAAUAGAACAAAAUAGACCUUACAACAGUUAUUCAUAACUACUGGCCUAUAAUCCAAAAUCUCUCGUCAAGUCCACCAACUUAUACUCUUGUGCCAUUACCUGUAAUGCAAAGAAAACUGAGUGGGUCAGGCUUGGGAGCCUGGUGAGCAUAUAGGGUUUUCAACCCACAAUAAUAUAAUUAUUAUAUUUAAUUAUCAAACAAUCAAUUCAAAUACCCACCCCCAUUAUCUCCAUUUAUUUCUUAAAGAUUUAUCCUAAGAACCAAUUACCCUUCUCCCAUUCAUUCCUAAGGAUUGCCCUAAGGAACUGGCACAAUGUCUAGUGCUGCCAAGGUUCUUAGAUUACCUCUAGUGAACACGCAAUUCACAAUAAUUAAUGAACACCUAGUUCAAGAACACCUAAUGAACACUUAGUUCCAAUAUUACCCAAUGAACACCUAGUUCACAAACACUUAAUGAACACUUAGUUCAAUUAUCCCUGAUGAACACUAAGUUCAAAUAUCUAAUGAACACUUAGUUCGAAUAUCCCUGGUGAACCCAAUCACCUAAGGAACACAGAGAAUGAAAGCUCUUAGUUCAAACAACGUGAUAAUAAAGUAUAUCUCGAUCCUGCGAAACCACUAAUGUUAUAAACACAUAUAAAUUAUAUUUCUAAAACAAUAUAUCCCAUCCCGUCGAUCCCCACAUACUGACCCUAUACAAUGAUCUUACGAGAUCUAGCCUAAGGAAUCGAUAUGAACCACAAACUGACGAAGCUGCUUCGGAAAUUCCCUGGCAGCAAACGAGGAUCAAUAAAGACAUCAAAUGAGGGGAAUGGAAUAAGUUUCACCACGAACCUUCGUUCGUAAAAGAAAGAACCACAAGACAUUUUAAGUCAGGGGUAGUUAUCUAGAUAACAAUGCCUAGGCGUGGUCUGACUAUCAUGAGGUAUUAUACCCCCAGACUUUACCUAUCCCAGCAUCGAACUUUGCCUAGCAGUGGCCUGAAUACAUGAGGUAUUUAACCCCCAGACGCACCCUAUCCAGCAAUAUAACACCAAACAUACCUAGCAGUGGUCUAUUACCGACACACUUUAUUAGGCAGUCUACGAAGUUCCCUUAAUUACUUCGUGAAAGAAAACGCUGACAUAUGAAGCUCGGUCGAUCACUUCAUAAAAGAAACGCUGACUCCAAAGCUCUCUCAAAAUAAAAGUAUGGGGAAAUACUACUAGAGUACUCCCGUACGCUUCCAUAGCCGACACACAAAAUUAUCAAAAAGACUCUGUACAUGAUAGUACUUCUGGCACAUUAUAGUACUCUAGUAUGCGAAAGAAUCGUACCCGAGAACAUAAUAGUACCCUAGCACAAGCAGCACCCAAGACACAGAGCUUUGAAAAAGACUUCGUACAUAAAAUGUGCUUCUGUACGUAGGACGUACUGUACCGAUCAUCAAUCUCACACACAUGUACUCUUAACAAGAAGCUACCCAAUGUCCAAACUUAAUUGAACUAAACAUCCCUAUUUAAGUCUUAACCCAUCACUAGGCAAACCUACAAUGUUUAUAAUCAAUUUUUGAUACUAUCUCCGUUUAGGAAAUGCUAACUAUUGUAUAAUUAACACAAGGUUUUAAGUAAUAAUAUCAUAUAUUCACAUCUUAACACAUAUUGAACCAUAAAUGAUUCGCACGUUGUAUCUCAUCAAAUAUAUCUAACCCGUAUUUCGGACAAUAACAAAUACUUUACAUACAUAUGUAUAUUUCAUACUUUAAUCAAUACACGUAUAAAAAUCACGUUCCUAAAAGGGACUAUACGCAUGAUACCUUAUCGUAUGAACACAUAAUUCAAAAAUACACAAUCUGUACUCCCGGAUCUAAUAUUUACCUCCUUACCUAAUCCAUAUUCCCGGAUCUAAAACUAACUUCUUGAUUUGAUCCAUACUCUCGGAUCUAAAACUAACCUCCUGACCUGAUCCAUACAUCCAGAUCUAAAACAAGUUUAUUUCUUUAUCCUUUUAUCUCCUGGUCUAACCCAUCUUUUAUCACAUACCAACAACCUCGUCUACCCAUGUUCUACCCAACAUAUUUUUAGAUACAAAAUACAUAUAUAGUUUAACUCAUUAAAACUUAUAUAAUUCACCCAUUCCAUAAUCAUCUUAAAUAAACAACAAAAUAUUAUACACAUAGCACGUAUUUCAUAGCAAAUACUUAAUAUUUAUGUGUUAGAAGAAAGUAACCACACACUCACUUGAUUAGAAGAUGAUCGGACAGCACUACGACUUGUAGAAGUAGUAUUCUUCGGUAGAUCUGGAAGAUCUUCACAAAAAUUGGCUUCUCGCGGGCAGAGCUUCGGCUUGGGAAUCGUACUUCUCGGGAUCUUCGGGGCUUCGGGACUUGCUUCGGGUCUCGGGAAUGAUACCGGGGCUUCGGGAUAUUUCUUGCACGAAAAACGAUGCAAAAACACUAGACAAAGGGAAGAAAUGAGCAAAGAACUCGGUUGCACUCGACUUCCUUUUAUUGGGGGCUAGGAACCCAAAUUACGUUGGGCGUAAAUUACAUUACGCUGGGCGUAAUGCGGAUCAGCUCGAUGACUCCCCCCUUUGGAUAAUAUCGGAUAAUUUUUAUUUAAAUUAAAUACCGAAAAUAUUUAAUAAACUUCAAAAAUUGAUAUCUUCCUUAUACGAACUCAGUUUUCAACGUUCUUUAUAUCCUCGCGUAGGUGAGACUACGCUCUACAACUUUCGUUUAGACUCCGUCGGCUAAUUUUGAAUUUAUUUUUAUUAUCUUAUUUUAGUAGGCCGGGACAGGAAAACUCCGUUAUAAAUUCAUAACUUCUUCAUCCGACGUCCGUUUUCGCCUAUCUUUUUAUCGUUUCACUACAAUUGACGAGAUCUUCGAUUCUUGUUUAGAUUGUUUUGCCUAAAAACCGCUCGAUCUCAAAUCGAGUAUUCGGGCUGCAUACUGCUAAGCUGAAACUUAGAAAAAUCAUAACUUCCUCAUACGAAGUCAGAUUUGGACGUUCUUUUUAUGCACGCUCACGGUUUAACGAACUCUACGACUUUAAUUUAGAUCGCUAAGGCUAAAUAUCGCUCUAACAUAAAUUCACUAUUUACGUCGCGCUGUGUCGUGCCGGUUCUAUCGCGAAACUUCGACAUGUCAUAACUUAUUCGUUAUAACUCGGAUUUCGGCGUUCUUUAUAUGCACGGAAACCUUGUAACAUAUACUAUAAAUUAGUUAAUAUUAUUCAUUAUAAAUAAUCUUUCACCAAAUUCAUUUUUUUUGACGCCUAUCGUCUCUAAAUUGACUAGCCCGGAUCUACGGACGUUACAGAAUAGGAAAAUAUCACCUGUUGCCAAGAUUGGAGUUUAUAUAUUCUUUAUUGCUUAGUAGUGGAUUAGAUUUAGAUUUGAAUAAUUCUUUCUACUCGUCCGAUAUGGGGAGAAAUAUUAUUUCCUUUCAUGGUUUGUACAAACAAGGUUUUAGAUUUUCAUUUGAUCAUGAAACUGGUUCUAUUAAUGCUUUUUAUAAUGGUUUAUUUUAUUUUAAAGCAUUGCCUUGUAAUGGUGUAUAUGAAACUCUGAUUGUUGUAGACAACUUAGGAUAAUGUAUUGNUCGUCCAAUGUUUUGGACAACGCAUGUUUGUGGCAUUGUUGUCUUGAACAUGUCAACAAGAAGUGCAUCGGCCAACUCCAAAAGGCUGGAGUCUUGGAGUCAUUCGACUUAAAAUCGGAUGAAACUUGCGAAGCUUGUUUACUUGGAAAGAUUACCAAGUCACCCUUCACUGGUACUUAUGAAAGGGGUGAGGGUGUUGGAUUUCAUACACACCGAUGUGUGUGGACCCUUCAGAACCGCCACAAGGGUUACUAACCGCUUCUAUGAGACUUUUACUAAUGAUUACAACCGAUAUGGCUAUAUCUACUUAAUCAGGAAUAAGUCAUAAACCUUUGAAAAAUUCAAAGAGUUUAAACACGAAGUGGAGAAUCAGCUGGGCAGGAAGAUAAAGAUUCUUCGAUCCGAUCGGGGUGGUGAGUAUCUUAGUAUCGAGUUCCUAGAAUAUCUUAAGGAAUGUGGAAUUAUUUCAUAAUUGAUGCCACCCAGGACACCACAGCUUAACGGUGUGGCUGAGAGGCGCAAUCGAACCUUGUUAGAUAUGGUUCGUUCUAUGAUGAUUCGAGCUUCGUUACCUAUCUCGUUUUGGGGGUAUGCCUUAGAGAUUGUCGCUCAUAUCCUUAAUCAAGUCCCUACUAAAAAGGUUGCCAAAAGACCUCACGAGAUGUGGACAGGGAAGACUCCCUCAUUGGCACACAUCAAAGUUUGGGGUUGGGAGGCUUUCGUGAGGCGUGAGACUCAUGACAAGCUCGAACCUCGUUGUGAGCAUUGUAUUUUCAUCGGCUACCCGUAGAAGUCCUUUAGAUAUCUCUUCUAUAGACCGAGUGACAAUGUUGUCUUCGUUGUGAGGAGAGGAGUCUUUCGCGAGAGAGAACUCAUAUGCCACGAGGACACUGGGAGGCAAAUUGACCUAGAAGAGCUUCAAGAGUUAAGCAAUGAAGGAACCUCAAACACUAGUGGUCAACCUGAGGAGGAAACUCCUGUUGAAUCAGUUGACAAGCCCGUACCUCUGAGGCAUUCCAGUAGAGUUAGUGUUAUGCCUGUGUUAUAUGGUUUCCAUAUAACAUCUGAGGGUGAUACAUUUAUCAGUGAUAGCACACUGAUAAAUUUGGAUGAACCUAACAACUACAAGGAAGCCAUGGCAAACCCCAAGUCUGCAAAGUGGAAAGCGGCAAUGACAGCGAGAACCCGAUAGAUCCCCUCACAAUGGGACUGAGUAAGGUUAAGCAUUUGCAGCAUGCGAGGAGCAUUGGGCUGAAGGACAAUAUUAGUUUUAAUGAUUAGAUAGCUGUUUAGAAACUUGUAAUAGAUAAAAUGUAAUUGACAUUUAAUGAUCAAAUAAAAGGUGUUUAUUAUUUAUAAGUAAAGUUACUAUCUUAUGUCAAUUGUUUAAUAUUGUUUCAUUUUGCAUGUUUUGACUUGCAGAAUAAUAUGGUUAUUCAAACUAUCCACAGUUGAUCAUACUUUGGAAGUAGGUAUUGAGGCAAGAUUGUCAUGAAUUUGGCUUGUAGAUUGUCUGAAGUGUUUAGACAUAGCAAAAGAUUGCUACAACAUUCAUGAGUGCUCAUAAGGUUUGAGUAUUAGAUUAAACCCAUGCUCACAUGAAUCACUUCAUGGAAUUUAUCACGAGUGAUUGUGAGACGAUAAUAUCAUAUAGUUUUAAAACCAAGAUAUAUAAGUUGUGGACUAUGAGUUAGUUGUACAUUAAUAGUGUGAAAACGCAUCAGUAACUUGAUAUUAUAAAACACAUUGUUGUGUAUGAUUUAACAAGUAGUUAGUACAAGCAUAUAAUGUCGAAGUUUAUCUGUUUCUUUUAAUUCUUAGAGGAUUAAAAACGAUAUCUUGGGCCCCUCGAUGAUUUUGUUUCGACUUAUGUGUCGGGCCCAGUCAGGACUCAAUUGAUGUGUUCAAUUAAGUUCUAUGUGAAACAAAUCGUAAAUCGGGAAAUAAACUGCUGGAAAAUAAGUAUGACAUUGUUCCAUGUAUUUUUCCGGUUGAUAUCUUGAAGAACAGAGGAGUAUAUGAUCACCUAUCUAAAGGAAGCGUCACUGACUAGGUUAGAGUUCGACAGCGGCUUUUGAGAGCUACGAUUGCUAGUCGGAUCCUGAAGUUGCAUUGACAAUUAUAGUUAUCAGACUUAUCCAAGUGGGACACUAUUGGAUAAGGUGUCUAAGUCCAUAACUAUAAUUGGUAUGUACUUGACCCGAUAGUAACAUGGUCCUUUUGGGUUGCCUUCACCAGUGCAAUUUGAUAGGAUGGACUUUAGAGAAUAAGGUUAUUUACGAUUUAUUAAUAUAUUACAAGUAUAAUAUAUUAAUAUGAAAUCAUAUUAUUUAAUUAGUAUUGAUCAACAUUUAAUUUGGAAUCAAUUUAGUGAUCCAAAGAGACUAAUUAAAUAUUCGGGGACUGAUUAAGUAAAUCAAUUAUUCUUAUAGUGUGGGCCAAUGAUCCAUGGUUAUUUAGGAUGGGCUAAACCAAUGUGAUAGUACAUGGAUAGUCCAUGGAGGUUUAAUCCAUGGAGCCUAAGUACUACGAAAAGUCAUGGUGCAUUAGGGUUUGCAAAGAUGUAACCCUAGCAUUUGUGACACUAUAAAAGGAGUUCCCUAGAGCCAAAAUCGGUUACACCUAUCAUUCUAAGAGUUUGAUAUUGAUUUGGUGCUAACUAGAUUAAUCUCUAAAGCCUCCUCUUGCAUAUGGUGUUUGUGACACAUUAGAGGCAUCACACUUGAGGUGCUAUUGCUUUCAAAGGUCAAGAACUACAAACUACAUCAAGAGGUAUUAAUCUAAACCAUUUAUGUUGUAUAUCAUCACUUGUAUGCUAGUUAGGAUGUAUGCUUUGGAAAAAUGAAAAUGCAUGUAUAAUUAGAGAAAACAUAGAUCCAAAGCAUCUAGGGUUGCGUGUGCACCAUAAGGUUGUUAUAGUGCUCAAAACCCUUCAAAAGGAUCAGAUUUGUCUUGUUGAUCCUAGGGAUUUGCUGAAAUUUGGCGAGCUUGACAUUCAUACUUUAUCCCAACAUCAGCUUAUGGUGGAAAAUGAAAUGUUUGAAGCUGCUGCAAAGGCUUUCACUUGCAUGAUAGCGACAACCAUUGAUAAGAGGUUGUAGGCAGGAGCGUUAGCUGAUUCUGAUGUUCAUCUUGUGGAGAAGUCGUAAAGUCAGCCAGCAAUAAACCAAGGGGGAGAUUGUUGGGUCAUAUUUAAAUGGUUUAUUCUGGGCUUAUGGUUUAUUAUUGUACUUGGGUUUAGGAAUGUAGGCUUUUGGUGUUUUCGGUUAUGGGGACUGUAAUCACAUAGUGAUUUCGGUUAGCUUGGGAUUGGGCCUGUUAAGGCUUUGUACUAGGUUUGUAUAUAUUGCUUUUCAACCGAUUAGGAGGUAGUUGUUGAUCAUUAUUUGUGGUAUUCGGCUGUUAAGUGUUUCUUGGUGUACCAGACGGUUUCAUCUAUUAAAUCGUGUGCAGUAAGAGUUAUUUGUGUGUUCUUGAAUCACUAUCUGAUUUAUAUUCUGCAUUCUUUAGAUAUUUUGAUUCAUAUCGUAUUGAUCUUAGUGUUUUAGGACUUACAUAAAGCAACUCCAGACUCUUAUCUGAUCAGACAUCGGUCCUAAGAUAAGUGAAUAAAUAUUCCUUCGUUCUAAAAGUUAUCAUAUGGACAUGAUACAUUGAUUAGAAUCAAUCUCAUUAUCAGAAAUUUUGUUUCCUAAUUUCCCGAUUUGUGAUCACCUCACAAGACUUAUUAAUUGAACACAUCAAUUUAGUCGUGGCUGGGCCCAACACUAUAACUCAACACCAAAUCAUUAAGGGGCCCAAAGAUAUCACUUUUCCCGUUAGGGAAAAAGUAAUGAAUAAACUUUGACUUAUAUGCUUGUAUCCUUUACUCAUCAAAUCAUACAUGAUACUUUGUUUUAAAACAUCAUACUACUAUGCAUUUUUGCAACACCAAUGUAUAAUUGAAUUGUAAAUCACGACUCAUAUAUCUUCGUUUCAAAAAUAUAAGAUAUUAUCGUCUCAGAAUUACUCGUGAUAGAAUCCAUGAAGUAAUUCUCUGAGUGUAGGUUUAUCCAAUACUCAAAUCUCCAAUUCUAAGUACUCAUGAAUGGUAUAGCAACCUCGUUCCUAUGUCUAAUCUCUAUAGAAAAUCUACAAUCCAAUUCAUGACAUUGUUAAUUUACUACUUACUUCGAAAAGUAUGAGCGACUAUGGAAUAUGAAUAAUUAAAUUAUUCAAGAGGUAAAACAUGCAAAUCGAAACACAAGAAUAUAUAACUGACAAAGGCAGUAAACAAACUCAUAAAUAAUCUCUAUUAUUCAAUCACCAAAAUCGAUUACGUUUAUUAUGUUACAAGUUUCAACCUAAUCAUCUAAAUUGUAAAACUAAUAUCAUCUCUAAAACUAAUGCUCCUAGCAUGUUGAUUAUGCUUAACAUACUCAUAGCCUUCGUGAAAUGAUAUGCAGGGGCUGAUUAUUUAAAUGGUAUUGAUCAAGAAUUAAUUUGGAAUUAAUUUAGUAAUCAAAAGAGACUGAUUAAAUUAAUAGGGGUUGAUUAUGUAAAUCAGUGAUACAUAUAGGUUUGGGCCAAUGAUUCAUAAUUGAUUAGUGAUGAACUAUCUUUAUGUGUGACUCCAUGAAGUGUUAGUCCAAUAGGCUAUCAAAUAAAUUAUUGGAUUAAUAGCCUAAGUGAAUGAAUUAGGGUUUACAAGUGACCCUUGGAAUUCUACACUAUAAAUGUAACCCCUAAACCCUAAAAGCGACACUUAUGUAUUCCAAGAAGAAGCUAGCCGAUUUUGGUGCCACCUAGCCUCUCUCACAUUGUCCUGAUUUGUUCUUGGUGUUUUGUGACUUAUUUGAGGCAUCACAUUUGAGGUGAUAAGCUCUUGUAAGGCCAAGUUCUACAAGCUACAACCAAGAGGUAAUCAUCUAACUUGUUUUAUGUUUUAAAUAUCAAUGUUGUAUGCUAGUUAGGCUUCAUGCCUUGAAAAUGAAAAUUGCAUGUAUAACUUGAGAAAACUUAGACCCAAAGCAUUACGGUUGUAUGUGCACCAUAAGGAUGUUAUAGUGCUAAAAACCCAUCUGUGGUAUCAAAACCAAGGGUGUUUUCUGUUAUAUUGAUACAUUGGUUAAUUGUUCAAAGUUGAAAGAAGUUGAAAUCUGUUUUUUUUUCUGGCUGAACUCGACGAGUUCUAUGAGGAACUUGAUCAGUUCUAUGAGGAACUCGACGAGUUCAUGAUCAACUCGACGAGUCCAUUGCCUGACUUGACGAGUUGGAUAGUUUGUUUGCAGAUUUUUGGAUUUUUUUGGCCAGAAUUGGAUUAGGAUCAUUAUCAUAAACUGUUUNNNNNNNNNNNNNNNNNNNNNNNNNNNNNNNNNNNNNNNNNNNNNNNNNNNNNNNNNNNNNNNNNNNNNNNNNNNNNNNNNNNNNNNNNNNNNNNNNNNNCUAAAUGGUUCUAAGCAAAGGUAGCAAAGGGUGACUUAAUGUUUGCAUUGUUCGGUGGAGCGUGUGUGGUUAACUGACACAUCGAAUAGGUGACUGUAACAUGUGGGGGCACCAUGUAAGUUUGCAUGGUUAUUCACACCCGCUUUGUGAUCCUCGGUAUCCCAUUCACAAACUCGAGGGGCAUAUCGAGAUUUAAACAUGUCACUGAAAUGUUCAAUGAAUCUCAAAGGGUCUAGGAAUUUUCAAUAGAUUUAAAACUUAAUCUGUUUUUCCUUUUUUAUGGUGGAAAUUGGUAAAUCGUCAUUUACCUACCUUCAAAUAUUUUGCAACUAGAUUACGACAUCCCUCUUCUAGGUUGUAGAGUAUUGUGUUGGAUCCUAGCCUUAAUAUCUCAUUUGGGUGAUUUAAUAAGGACUUAAUCAAUCAACUAACUUGAAUUUAAUUUUUCUCCCGUUUUGUAUAUGUCAAAGUAUGACAACUAUGGUUUUCCCAAAUCCCGUGCAACUAGCUUUUCACAUGAGGAUGAUAUUCCACGAUUCGAUCGAGGAACACGAGAUCAUUCUUCACUUCCUCCACCUCCUCCUAUUAUUCUCCCUAACCCACAAGUUCAAAAGAUUGAAAAGUUCAAACUCACUCAAGCCCUUUUAGCAAGUGAACAUGACGAAGGAAAUUUAGUGUAUGCACACAUCCUAGAGAUGAAGUCACACAUUGAUAGAUUAAGAAUGUUGGGAUCUGUUGUCUGUGAGGAGCUGGCUGUUGACUGGGUUCUUCAGUCACUUCCUGACUCAUAUAGUGAGUUCAUAAGAGAGUACUAUAUGAUGAACCACGACGUAACCCUCAUUGAUCUCACCUAUAUGCUUAUUGCUGCUGAAUCAGCAAUGAUUUGGCACACUGGAAAAGCAAAGUUGAUUGGUGGAUCGACCUUCUAGACCUCUAUGGAUAUAGGCAAUGGCAACGAAAGGCAUGCCAUGAUCGAAAAGUUUGAUCAUAAGAGAAAGGCAAAGUCAGAAGUAGCUCUGUGUGUUGUUCCAAAAGAGUCAAUUUGCUUUUAUUGCCAAGAGAAGGGGCAUUGGAGACGAAGCUGCCCUAUUUACCUAAGAGAUCUAAGAGAUGGGAGAGUCAAAACGUAUGGCUCUGCUUUAGGUAAAAUCCAUUAACUAACUCUUUUAAGUUCCUAUUCUAAAUUCUUAAUACAUGAUGUGAUAAGAUUACAUUUCGAUGUCUUGUAGGAUCGAAGAAAAGAGAGGAAGCUUAAGGGAAGAAGUGAGCGGAAUCUAAUCGUGAAGAAAUGGAUUUCGAUCGCAUUACUUGAAGAUUAGAAUCUUGAGCUACUACUUGGAGUUAGAAUAAGAUUGCUAAGAAAUAUGUAUUAACAUAGUUUUUCAAUUAAAUUGCAUUGUAAGGACAAAUUUUUNGAUCGAAGAAAAGAGAGGAAGCUUAAGGGAAGAAGUGAGUGAAAUCUAAUCGUGAAGAAAUGGAUUUCGAUCGCAUUACUUGAAUAUUAGAAUCUUGAGCUACUACUUAGAGUUAGAAUAGAUUGCUAAGAAAUAUGUAUUAACAUAGUUUUUCAAUGAGUUGCAUUGUAAGGACAACUUUUUUCCGCAAUAAAAUAAAUUUUGAUUUUUUUAUUAUUUAUUUAUGCUUGCAAUGACGUGUAUGAAAAAUUGAUGUUUGAAAGUUUCUAUUAUUAGCAAUAAUGGAUUUGAUUCUUAAUUAUGCUUUUUGUGGAAAGGUCAAGAAUUUAUCAAAUAGGGAAACUUUCUCAUCGCCCAAGUUUCAAUUGGAUAGAAACUUGGAAUCAUACAACAAGUAUUGCAUGAUGAAUGAGAAGUUUCAUAUUCAGAAAUUAGACUAAUUCGUUGACAAAGUGUCAAGUGAAGGGCUAGGAGAUCAAGUACACAAAGGUUGUGUGUUGAUCAAGUCCACCACAAGAGUGACAAAGAUAUUAGUCAUGAUUUACUAAAGGUUUAGUGGAUAUGAUUAUACUUAUAAGAUUGAGUGUAAUUCCAAGUUGAUUUGAAAGAGUUUAAAUCAAUAGCAGAACGAAUAAGAAGAAUCAAGUAGGCAGAAAGAUAAACGUUUCUCUAUUUUAAGAAGAAGGGAGAGUACCUUUAUUAUGUUUUAUGAUAGGUCUUAAUGAUUAAGAACCAUAUCUCAAUUGAUCCUCUAAGUGAGUCUUAGUGCAAUUGUAUGUCUGAGAAGAGGAAUCAAGAAUUGAAGAAAUGGUUAAAUCAAGAAGUCAAUCAUACUUCGUUCCAAAACAAGUCUUAGAGUUAAGAUUGUGACAUUGAGUGACAAGUCUUAAGUAGGUUUAUAACAUUCAUCAAAUGUGGAAUUUGAAAAAGGGUUUUCUUAUUACUGCACAUUUGAAAUUGGAAAGUUGUGAUGUCUUAGGUAAGACAAAGACCAACUAUGACCAAUUUUGUGAAAUGCUUAUUCUUGAUAAAAGCUACACUAAUCCUUGAAUAUUUGUUUGUCGAGAAAUGUUUAUUGACAAGAGAAUCUUAUAUGUCAAGGAGUUAGUGGGAGUCUUAAUGGUCUUGAAAAUUUUCAAGAACAAAUCAAGAAUAAACCUUAUCGAUCAUCACUAGCACACGACUUGAGGUUUACAACCUAUCGUGUUGACACUAUCUUGUUUCUGUGCCAUUCCAAUUGAGUUAAUUAUGCAUGUGAGUUCUAUGAGUUCUCAUUUGAAUGCAUAAAAGGCAAGGACUUUGAUCAAUGAAAAGUACAUUGAUAAGAAAGGGCGAGCUGCUUAACUGCUUGGAAGACAUGGUGGCACUCAUGUUACCAUAAGGCAAGAAAUCAAGAUUAAGAAAGUUCGGUCCAUAAGAGUUUGGAUUUGUCGCAAACUUUGGUUUGGACAAAUUCGCAUGGAUAGGAACACAUACACCAUUAAAAUAUAAGUGUCAUAAGAUUCCCUCCUUCAUGAAAAUGACUGUGAGNAUGCUUUCACCAAGAGAUAUUUUAAGAAGAUAGUGAUUGUGAAAAUUGUAUUCUCGAAUUUGAUUAUGGUUACGGUAUCCCUUUCCAUAAUUAGAGUUGUAAGAUAUGGCAAUUAGUCUGAAUUGUUUAAGACACACAUAUAUGAGAUUAAGAAGCUUAGAUAAAAGAUUAUCAAAGCAUUAGGUAUUAGAAAUAUUAACUUAAGAAAUUCAAUAAGUAUUGUUUUUUUUUCUGGAAGUUAAGCUGUUUUCUGAAUACAUGUCAAAGCUAGUGGGAGCAUAAGUGUUAUGCUUAUAUGAUAAUAAUCAUCAUGAUAGUGGGAGCAUAAAUGUUAUGCUUGUAUGAUUAUUAUGGCAAGUAUUGCAAGUUAGCAAUAUUAAUUAUAGAAAACAAGAGUUAUACUUUGCAAAGUCGUAAGGGUUGAAAAGUUGUUUUGCUAUAAUUAAGGGAGAGAAUAUUAUGCUUCAUUUCAAAUCUAAAGGCUUAGGUUGUGGAAUGUUAAUAAAUUUAGUCAACGAUACGUAGUGUGUUCUCAAAUUUCGAUUAUGAUUAUGGCAUAGUUCGAAUUUGAGAGCGUGGCACAUAAAAUAUUAUGGCAGAAGAUUGAUAAAGUAUCAGAUCUUUAUGUAAUACAUUAUGCAUCGUGUCCCAUACGCUUCGGGUAUAGGAUCGAUUGCAAAUGCUAUAAUAUUUGACCAUUCUAAAAUUUUCCAAAUGUCUAGCGCAUUAAGAGGGAAAAAGGACAAGAAUCGGUUUUGACUAAGAUAAUUAAACAACUAUCAAAGGACGAUCCAAAGCUCGCUGAGGAUUGGUCACUUGUGAGUAGUUGGAAGCAUGAUAUUGGAUGGACCAUAUCGACAUUAUUAUGAAUAGAUAAGAUUCAAUUAAGAAUGAGUUGUCAUAUGGAAAAUAUGGAAAUGUUUCCAUAUUGGGAGUUGGAUAUUGAGAGUCUAUGUCUAGAUUAGAAAAUUUUAUGCAAAAGGAUGUUCAAAGGAAUGUACUUUGAGUGAGAGACAUCACGUCUAUGGAAUUGUAUUGUAACAAUCUCAAAUAGAGGACUUUGUAAUUUCAUUGGCAAUAGUCAUUGUGANNNNNNNNNNNNNNNNNNNNNNNNNNNNNNNNNNNNNNNNNNNNNNNNNNNNNNNNNNNNNNNNNNNNNNNNNNNNNNNNNNNNNNNNNNNNNNNNNNNNNNNNNNNNNNNNNNNNNNNNNNNNNNNNNNNNNNNNNNNNNNNNNNNNNNNNNNNNNNNNNNNNNNNNNNNNNNNNNNNNNNNNNNNNNNNNNNNNNNNNNNNNNNNNNNNNNNNNNNNNNNNNNNNNNNNNNNNNNNNNNNNNNNNNNNNNNNNNNNNNNNNNNNNNNNNNNNNNNNNNNNNNNNNNNNNNNNNNNNNNNNNNNNNNNNNNNNNNNNNNNNNNNNNNNNNNNNNNNNNNNNNNNNNNNNNNNNNNNNNNNNNNNNNNNNNNNNNNNNNNNNNNNNNNNNNNNNNNNNNNNNNNNNNNNNNNNNNNNNNNNNNNNNNNNNNNNNNNNNNNNNNNNNNNNNNNNNNNNNNNNNNNNNNNNNNNNNNNNNNNNNNNNNNNNNNNNNNNNNNNNNNNNNNNNNNNNNNNNNNNNNNNNNNNNNNNNNNNNNNNNNNNNNNNNNNNNNNNNNNNNNNNNNNNNNNNNNNNNNNNNNNNNNNNNNNNNNNNNNNNNNNNNNNNNNNNNNNNNNNNNNNNNNNNNNNNNNNNNNNNNNNNNNNNNNNNNNNNNNNNNNNNNNNNNNNNNNNNNNNNNNNNNNNNNNNNNNNNNNNNNNNNNNNNNNNNNNNNNNNNNNNNNNNNNNNNACGCGUAUCUGAUAAGAUCAGAGUUGACAGCGGCUUUGGAAAGCUACGAUUGCAGAUCAGGAUCUGAAGUCAUACGCAUAAUAGUUAUUAGACUUAUCCAAGUGGGAGACUGUUGGAUUAGUGUCUAAGUCCAUAACUAUUUUGGUAUGUACUUGACCCGAUGGUGCAUGGUCCUUUUGGGUUGCCUUCACCAAAGCAACUUGAUAGGAUGAAUUAUGGAGAGAAAGGAUAAAUUAUGAUUUAUUAAUAUAUUAUGAGAAUAAUAUAUUAAAGGAGAAAUCAUAUUGUUUAAUUAAUAUUAGUCAAGAAUUAAUUGAUAAUUAAUUUUGUGGCUAAAAGAGAUUAAUUAAACUUAAAGGACUGAAACUGUAAUUAUAAGAUAAUUGCAUUUGGGCUAUGGAUCACCUUGGAAUAAUGGGUUGGACGAAUUCUAUGGGGAAACCCAUUAAAAAUCGUCCAAGGGUUAUACUAAAAGGGUCCAUGGGCUGCUUAGGGCUUAAGCAGUCAGAUUAGGGUUUCCUAGUUGAAAACCCUAAUAGCCUACAUGUAUAUAUAGCACCCUUAAGCCCCAAAAACGUGGCUAAGAGUUCCUCUAGGGUUUCUAGACGUUUUUGGGCAGUCUCCUCUCUCCUUGUACUUCAUCCUCUUGCUAUUGGUGUUUGUGAGCCAUUAGAGGAGUGACAAUUGUGACUUUAAGCUUUCUAAAGUCAUUGUAAGGAGGAAUUGAGAUUGUUAUUGCUACAUAACAAUCAAAGGUAAUUCUCUAAACCCUAAUUUCAGUUUAUAACAUGUUAGACCUAAGAUUGUAAGUCUUGAAUACAUUGCAUGUACAAUAGAGAAACCUAGAUCCAAGCAUUAGGGUUUGCAUGAGGACAUAGGAUGUUUUGAUGGCUAAAAGCCAUCAAUUUUAACCCCAAAAUUGUUCAUUUUUAUUUAUUCAAAUAUAUCAGAGUAUAGUUACAUUAUGCAGAAACAUGUUGCGAAUGCGUGUAUGUAUAUUUGAACCUUUCCCUUCUCACCAACCCAUGAAGCUCCUAAAAAACAUUUAUAAACAACUGGGUAAGCAUGAAGCUUACUGAGUUCCCUAAAAUACCAUAUACCAGAAUAUAUAUCGUGCGCUGCCUACUAAGCAUAUAAACGGGCCUCGCCCACCCGACAUACAUAACAAUAUUAUAUACAUAGAGACUACACUUUUAAGUUCUAUUACCACAGGCACAUAGUGGCUAUUAUUUCUACUCUGCUAACUUUAAGUACACUAACAUUGAGCACCUAGAGACUAUGAUAUCAACUCUACUCCACUAGAUCCUAAUGUCCUUGGAUAUGUAUUGUAAUACAUUGUACAAUAAGGUAACUCACCUGGACAGUUACUUAGAUGAUUAAAAGAUAUCUGGUAAUCCUACUUGCAAUCCAAGUGGCAGGUAACACAUCUAACAAGUAUUAAGAGGGAUCUUAGCGAAAUUCAGCCAAAUCGCAGGCAGGGCUUCGAUACCGAGCACUUUUAUUUACCUGACCCUCUGCCUAAGAGCUUUAAUAAAAUGGAGUUUCUCAAACUCCCAAAAAUACCCCAAAAGUUGGAUCUUGGAGAGAGAGAUGUGAGAGUUUGGAGUGAAGAUGAUGUGAGAAAUGGAAGAAAACAGAGAUGUCUAUUUUAUAGUCGAGAGGCGCGUUGCGCACUAUAGAUAUGUGCCGUUCAUCUUGUCAGGGAUGAUGCCAUGACUUCAUUCAGAUGGUGACACGUGGCGGUUUUUAGGUGGAAUGUCGGUGCACGCAACGCCCCUUGUCGACGCACGCCCAAACACGCACGAAUUUUUAGUUUCUUCAAAAAUUCAUAUCUUCUUUAUACGAGCUCUAUUUUCGAUGUUCUUUAUAUCCAUGCAUAGCUAUGGAUGAGAUCUGUAACUUUCAAUUAGAAUCGGUCGGCUAAUUAUCACUUUAUUUUUAAAGUUAUACUUUUAACUGGCUUAGAAUGUUAACGUUCGUAUAAAUAUCAUAACUUGUCCAUAUGAAUUCCAUUCUCAACUGUAUUUAUAUUGACGAAAUUGUAUCUAUGAGAUCUUCAACUCUCAUUUAGAUUGUUUCGGCUAACAAUCGACUGAGUUCCAAUUCGGUUUCUGUGUCGUACAUUGGUAUGCUGAAACUUCUAAAUCAUAACUUCCUCCUACGAAGUCAAAUUUAGGCGUUCUUCAUAUGCACGAGUUCAUUUUUCCGAUUACGAAGACUUUCAUCAAGACUAUUUAUCCUAAAUAUCCUUCUAUCCAAAAUCCUUAAUUAACUAGUCGUUUAUAUUGUAACGCGAAAAUAUGGUGUUACAGUGUUCGCCAAAAAAUGUAAACGAGAGUUGAUGAUCUCGUAAACAUGAUUCCAUUGAUAUAAAGAAAGUCGAGAACGGAACUCGUAUGAAGGAGUUAUGAUUUUUAUACGGAAUUUAACAGUCUAAUCUUAUUAAAAAUAUCAUUUUAAAAUUAAAUUGAGAAUUAGCCGACAGAGUGUAAAUGAAAGUUGUAGUAUUCGUCGAUAGUUACGCAUGGAUAUAAAGAACGUCAAAAAAAAGAGCUCUUAUGAGAACUAUAUGAUUUUUAGAAAAUUUGAUAAAUUUCCUGUGCACACUUUUUUUAGAAGGUGGGAUGCAGCUCGCCCGAUUUUCGACACGUGCAAGCAAACUGUGGGAACAAUGUAGCAAGAAUUUGUGGCGCGUCCCUUGGAUACGCGUGGCAUGCCUAGAAAAAUUUGGAUAUGAACAGAAGGCCAAGCCUUCAUUCAUUCCUCACACCUUCAACAAAAUCUCUUUGUAAUUCUCUUAGGUUUUACCUCAAAUUUCCCUAGAUUUUUUUUGAAGCAUUUAGUACAACUUUGAAUUGUUGGAGACUCCAACAAAUAAAAGCUUUCAGAUCUGAAUUCUGCCAGCGAAAUUUUCAAACAUUUUUUAGGAAUCUCUGUAAGUUAAGCUAGACUUAUUAUGUUUUAGGUGUAACUUAUAUUUAUAUUCAUAGUCAUUUUUAUGAAUUUAUAAAUAAGAUUUAUGUAACAUCCAUAAUAAUCAUGCCAAAUUUAAACUUUUUAAAACAUUUUCAAAACCAAGAUUAUUACAAAACAUGUUUCCAAAAUAGUAUAAUGCCAGAGUAUCCCAAAAUUAAAUCAUAAAAACAUGAAAUAUGAGGAGCUGUACGAUCACGCCUUCGCCUUCACGCGAUCAUCAGAAGUACCUGAAACAAUAAUCGAUAAAUGUAAGCUCGAAGGCUUAGUGAGUUACCCCCAAAAUACCAAUGCCAUAUAGAUAUAGCCAUGUCAUGUAAACAUAUAAGCAAACAACAUGCAUAAUGAGCCAUCAGUCUUACUGGACCGACUCCCGGUCCUCAGUCUAUCUGGACCGCUCUCUGAGCCCUCGGCACGUAUGGACCGCCCUUCUCGGGGCCUUCAGCCUAUCCGAAUCGCUCGCUAGGCCUUCGGCCUGACUAGAUUUGCCCGACUCGGGCUUGCAGUCUACCCAGUCCGCCCAGGGUGUCUUGGCCUACUGCACACAGCAGGACCUACCUCAACCCUUUCCCCAAACCAAAAAACAUGUGCACAUACAUAUAAACAACUAAACAUGCAGAUAUAACAGAUCAGUAAUCAUAGCAACGAUCCUAUAACCAGAAUAUAUAUACCAUAAAGCAUAACAUGAAAUAAACUCGGAUACAAAUCUGAAAAGGGUCGACAUCGGUGCCUUAGACCCAUUUAAUUUAGUGAGGAUAACUCACCUCAUAACUAUCAUGCUGAAGCGAUAUUCAUCGGACUCGCUGAGUUGACCAUGCAACUCUCUGAGUCCCUUCAGUCCUUUCUCCAUUCAGAUGCUUUUUAAGCCAUUCCAAAGCUCCAUAAUGUAGAUCUAAGCUCCUAAGGCAUACUUCUUACGUAAAGUUGCAAACUUUACAUUCAUCCAAGAUGACAAUGACUUAAAUCAAUCUAAAGAAGAGAUUCUGGGCAAGGGAAAUACACUUGCAUGCUAAAGAAUGAGACUUUAAGAUAUUGUAAGGACCAAGAUGAGCCUAAAUCUGAAGUUGCAACUCCAAAUCUUGGUUCAUCACUCGAAAUGAAGUACCAACAUACCAAAAUGGCCCUAAAACACAAAUAUAGAAGGAUCUAGCUAGAAGAAGUUCAAGGUAACGACUUCAUACCCUCAAAUGAUGCUAAACUUGGGCAGACUUCAGAUCCACACACGUUCCUUGCCUCAAACUUCUUGAUCUUCAAGCUCCUUUCACCAAGAUCCACCUUUCAAUCUUAAAACACACAAGUAUGGAGAGAAAACCGCGAUUUAGGGUUUUUGGACUCACAAGUGGCUGUAAGGGAGGCUAAGAGAGGCUAAUAACCCUUUAAAUAGGGUGCAAAACCUUGGAAAUUAGGGUUUCAUCCUCCAGCUCCAGCUCCAACUCGUCGAGUCAGGGCCUCCAACCCAUCGAGUAGACUUUUCAAUAUGAAAGAAUAAAGAUGAAAACUAAUACCUAAGAGUUUGGGCGUUACAAUUCUCCCCCAAUUGAACUAGACUUCGUCCUCGAAGUCCGCUGC
Molecule: long non-coding RNA, 75707 nt
Filed under: Lactuca sativa (garden lettuce)
Lineage: Eukaryota; Viridiplantae; Streptophyta; Magnoliopsida; Asterales; Asteraceae
Description: long non-coding RNA (LSAT_LNC002541)
Source: RNAcentral